RNAcentral lists this long non-coding RNA (47945 nucleotides) under Triticum aestivum (bread wheat). RNAcentral describes it as "long non-coding RNA (TAES_LNC002798)". The stretch from base 29237 to 29361 matches the Rfam family "MIR1120/MIR1122 microRNA precursor family". The record is from RNAcentral. Lineage: Eukaryota; Viridiplantae; Streptophyta; Magnoliopsida; Poales; Poaceae.
AUCAUCCCCAUCACCACCAGCCUCAAGAGGUCCUGAGCAACCACACCACACCGGAGUUUGUGACGAUGAUCAUCUGGACACCUGCAUUUGUGUCUAUGUUGUUUCGAUUUCGUAUUCUACUGCUUCAUUCGUUGAUUUCUGCUCCCUCCGAAUGUCUCUAUGCCGUCAGGAUUUAGCUGAUGAUGAAUAGUACACCGUAUAUCUGUUCAGUUAAUUUGCAACCCUGAAAAAUCUGCUGAUCGAUUCUGUGCAUGAGAUGAGAUUUGGUGCGUGGAUUUGUUGCUGUUGCAGUAGCCUGCAGAUUUAUUGUGCUUGCAGCUGGGGCCUGAGCACCCUGUACACAAGAUAGGCAAUAUUUGUGGCUUCCUAUCAUCACUAGUAGAAUGUCCGUGCGUUGUCACGGGCAUUUCAGUAAUUUUGCUGGUUGUAUAAGCAUAAUGCAUGUAUAGAAAAGAUAGCCAAUAAAAUACAAUCAGAAAAUAAAUAAAAUUAAUUUUCUGACGAGACUUCCUCGUGACUAGGACAAACUCUCCCCUCUAAAUUUCACCGGCGAGUCCGUCGAUUCGCCUCCCCUGUGUCUACCGCUCCAACGGCCGGUGGCAGGGAGGGGAAUCCCAGUGCCUCCGCUCCGGUUAGUAGUUUAGGUUAGGGAUUUCUAUUCCUUGAAGGCGUGGUGCUCAGGCGGAUGGCGCGCUACUUCCUUGAGUUUGUCUUUCGGACUCUAAUCCACCUCGAGUUCGUUCGUCUAGACGUAGUCAAUGGAGUUUCGGCAUAGAUUCUUGUUGUCUCUUUUGCGGCGGUGAGGUUAGGGUUUCUCGUCAUGUGGCAAGAUGUGCAGGUGCUUCAAAUCGAUGCAAUGGUUCAACGGUGACGACUGCGAUUCCAGAGUGUUGGUCCUUAGGGACACGUGUACGAAGACUUCCCUCCUAUCAUCGGAAAAGGUCAAGCCGGCUCCGAUAGGGGAGCGACGACCGUGGUGCGUCGGCAACUUGUUUUGGCGGGGGUAGUGGUUGUUUUUGGGGUGUUGGAAUCUCAAUGUAAUUUUUAGUAUGUUUGAGAUGAUUUGUACUUUCGGUGAACUUUGAUAAUAGAUCUAGAUCAUUUCCACACAAAAAGAAAGAAAAUGAAUAAAAAAUGCAAUAUGACAUUGUAUACAUUUAGAGUAAUGACUCAACUAAUUAACUAUUACAAACUAAAAUCUCAUUGAUGUGUUUAAGAUAUUCUCAUACAAUGUCAGGAAUGCUAUCUUUAGCAUCAUUUGCAUGAUUCUUAAGCAAUCUCUACUAAUUAAAAAGCACAUAAGGCUAUACAAUUAUGAUAACUUACACAAAACUGCAGAUCCAUGAAGUGUACAGGAGGGUCUAGAACCAAAAAGACCUCAUUGCAUGCAAGCAUACAUAUGGCCAUGUUGAAACAAAUCCAUAGAACAUGUUAAGUAUGCCUUCAUUUUUUGAGACUUAAGCCCAUUGGAUGUGGCAUAGAGAUUCACACCCAUUCCUUUCUGAAAAAUAAUUAGUAAGAAUCACAAAAAUGUAUAUUGAUGCAUAAUAUACUUAUAAAUGUUGCUUACUCUAAACAAUUGACAUAAUCGAUCAACAAGAUGUAUUUGCAAUGGCAGUCAACUAAUUCAUGUGGACUCUCCAGGAGCACGACAUCAGAAUUAGAUAAAUCAGGCGUCCUUUUAUCUUAUUCAUGUCUAACUCUCCGUCGAAAGUGUUUCAUAUCUUCUGGCAAAAUAUUAGUAAAAAACAAAUCUAAGAGAAAGCUUAAGAUGAAAUAACGAGAACAUGUAUGAAAAUGAAAUACUCGGGUGACAUGAUCAAACACACAUCUCGUGUCCAAUAUUUCAUAAAAUUUACCUUGAAUAAUACUGCACAUGAUGUGCUGCAAAUAUUACAAAAAUUUCUUUAGAAUAUCAUUCAGAGAAAUCAAAAAUUUGCUUUAGUAUAUCAUACACACGAUGAACAAGUCUACCUGUAUGAGUCUGCUAAUAAAGAUUUUGUUAUCAAUAUUGCUUUUCUCAAGACAUGUAACAUAAUACGUUUGCUUUGAUGAAUAUAAAACUUAAUUUUUGAUCUUGACAAGUGUUUACGCAUCAGUUUAUAUUUGACUCCUGAAUCUGUUUUACGACCGCCUAGUCUGUAACAUUUAGAUCACUUGUUGGUGAUUAUUUUCAGAAAAUUAUUUGUUGGGGUAUGUGAUAUUUUCAUUAAAUAAAAAAAGUUCCAAAAGUAUGUGCCAUCUCUCAUAGCAAACAAUCGCUCCAAAAGGCGCCUCGCGCGAGACUGAAGAAAGCGCAAAGGGAGCUGGAGCGACUGAUGAACGUUCCCUUUACUACUGAGGUUAGUGUGAAACAGAAAGAGAUGUCGGUGCUGAUUGGGAAUCUUUUGCAGCAAGAUGAGAUAUACUGGUCACAGCGUGGGAGGGUAAAUUGGCUCCGACAUGGUGAUCGAAACACAAAAUACUUCAGCCAUUUUGCGUCAGCUAGGAGGAAAAAUCUCAUUAAAAAACUGCGUGUAAAUGAGAGUGGGUGGAUUGAGGGGAAUGAUAACCUCAAACCCCUAAUCUCUGACUAUUUCAAAAAUUUGUUUUAGUUUGAUGUAGGAGAAGUGGACACAAAUCUCCUAGCAUCGGUCAAGUCCUUGGUGACUAACGAUAUGAAUACAUUACUUGUUGCUCCUUAUACUAAGGAAGACGUGCGCAAGGCUUUAUUUCAGAUUGGUGACAUGAAGGCCCCUAGACCGGAUGGCCUACAUGCAAUAUUCUUCAAAAGGUUUUGGCACAUUCUUGGGGAUGAACUAACUAAGGAAGUUCUGGAUGCUAUUGAGAAGAAGAAGAUUCUAGAUGGAUGGAACUCAACAAACAUUGUUUUGAUCCCUAAGGUAGAGAACCCGGAGGUAAUUACUCAAUAUAGGCCGAUCAGCCUAUGCAAUGUGGUAUACAAGAUUAUUUCCAAGAUGAUUGCUAAUAGGCUUAAAAGAAUUCUCCCUGAUGUCAUAUCCCCAACACAAAGUGCUUUUGUGCCAGGCAGAUUAAUAACUGAUAACGUGUUGGUGGCCUACGAGUGCUUUCAUGCCAUUAAAAAGAAAACUCAUGCCACUAAUGGCUUUUGCGCGGUCAAGUUGGAUAUGAUGAAAGCUUAUGACAGAGUUGAAUGGGGGUUCUUGAGAGAAGUAAUGGUAAAGAUGGGUUUUCACUUGCAGUGAAUAGAGCUUAUUAUGGAAUGUGUAUCUUCAGUAAGUUACAGAGUCAGAUUUAAUAACACUGAGACAGAUGAGUUCUUCCCCACUCGAGGUUUGAGACAGGGAGAUCCCUUAUCCCCCUACAUGUUCUUACUUUGUUCUGAAGGCCUGUCUAGUAUGCUCGCUUUUGAGGAGGAAGUGGGAGGUAUAGAAGGAAUAAAAGUUUGCAGGAAUGCCCCAUCAAUAUCCCACUUAUUAUUUGCUGAUGACUCGCUUAUUCUUAUGAGAGCUAAUAACCAGAAUGCGGUGACUCUUAAAAAGGGUGUUGGAUACAUAUUGCGGCAGCUCUGGACAAUUGGUGAGUGCUCCCAAGUCCAGUAUUUUUUUCAGUCCAAAUACCAGCGUUCUAGUGAGAGAAGAAAUUUGUAGAGAGUUAAAUAUUUUGACUGAGGCUCUAUCAGACAAAUAUUUAGGCCUCCCAACCAUGGUUGGGGUGGAUCAUAGUGAUUGCUUCCAACACCUCAUUGAUAGAGUUUGUCGUCGAUUGAAAGGGUGGAAAGAAAAAGUGCUCUCCAUGCAAGGUAAGGAAAUUUUGUUGAAAUCAGUAGCUCAAGCAAUACCUCCAUACGCCAUGUCAGUGUUCAAAUUACCAAAAGGUAUUUGCAAGUCAAUAAUAGAUGAAAUGUCAAGUUUUUAGUGGGGUGAUGAUGAAGAGAAGAAGGAAAAAUGCAUUGGUACGCAUGGUGGAAAAUGUGCAUCCCAAAUAAGAAGGGCGGUAUGGGAUUCAGAGACUUACACAACUUUAACCUUGCUAUGUUAGCAAAGCAGUGUUGGUGACUAAUCCAAAAUCCGGACUCUUUGUGUGCACGUGUUCUGAGUGCAAAGUAUUACCCAGAUGGUAACAUUCUUAAUGCCGGCCCUAAGAAGGGUUCUUCAUACACUUGGCAGAGCAUUGUGGCGGGAAUCCAAACUUUUAAAAGGGGUUUCAUUUGGAGAGUAGGUACAGGCUCAAAGGUCAAUAUCUGGUAUGACCCUUGGAUCCCUUCAAGUGCCUCACAGAAAGUUAUAACGCCAAGAGGGCAGAUUAUGUUAUCCAAAGUAGAAGAGCUAAUCGACCCGCAUUCGGGUCAGUGGAAUGAAGAUCUGCUGCGAUCUGUUUUUAGUCCGACAGAUGUUGAACGGAUACUAAGAAUUCCUCUUAAUGUAGGGAACGUUGAGGAUUUCGUGGCAUGGCAUUACACAAGGUCUGGGACGUUUUCAGUCAGUUCAUCGUAUCAUGCAGAAUUUAAUCAUCAUAUGAUUCACGUUCGACUCUUGCUGAUGGUUAAGGCGGGGCUCAAAUAAAUGGUAUCUGGAAGGACACUUGGAGUCUUAGAGUUCCUGGAAAAAUUAAACACUUCACGUGGAAAGUUUUGAGGGGUAUCUUGCCCUGCUAUGGAGUUCUUGCAAGGCGCCAUAUUCCUGUCACUGGCCAGUGCCCGUUCUGUAAGGUGGGCUUCGAAGAUAUUCGGCAUUGCUUGUUUACUUGCUGUCAUGCAGUGGAUGUUUGGACGGAAUUAGGAAUGAAUGAAGUGAUCUACCAGGCAGUGAUGGAGGACCGAUCAGGAUCAGUGACCAUGGAAAUCCUAGAAAGGAACCAAUCGCUUGUUGGGGAGCUACCAGCGGUAGAGCUGAUUGUAGUUGCUGCUUGGUUCAUAUGGUGGCAGCAUCGUCAGUUUGUGAAGGGGGAAACAAUCCAAACCGCAGACCGAACAGCUAUCUCCAUCAAGGUGUUAACAACAAACUUUGUAAGAGCGGCAACACCGAAACAACCAGUACGUAAGAGAGAUCACAUGUGGAAGAGACCAAAUAGAGGGAGUGUUAAGAUCAAUGUGGAUGCUUCAUACAAUGCUGAAACUUUAUCUGGGGCAACAGGAGCCAUAGCAAGGGAUGAUAAAGGACAAUUCUUGUCAGCAGCGACAUGGUACAUACCGCACGCUAGUAGUGCCGUAUCAGCAGAACUAAUUGCUAUCUGUAAUGGGCUAUAUCCGGCGGCAAAUAUUGGGUGCAAUAGAGUCAUAAUUGAAUCUGACAGUGCACUGGCGAUAGAGGCGGUGAACAACCACGACAACUACUUCGGUCAAGAUGCUGCGACGGUUGUGGAGUGCAAAAUGUUGGCUUCAGAUUAUGCUUCUGCAUCCUUUGACAACUGUUUCCGAAAAGCAAAUUCCAUAGCAGAUAGCUUAGCAAAACUUAGCUUUACUUCUACUUCUUCUUCUGUGUGGGACUCUACCCCACCCGACCUUAUUUCUCACCUGAUUGUAAGUGACAUGGCCAUUAUUUGAGAAAUAAAGUCCUUUGAUUUUUUUUAAAAACAAUCACUUCUCCCUUGCACACACACAACACUACAACAGCUAUAUCUUUUUUAUUCCUAAAAACCAAACGCCAUGCUCCUUUUCUUCCUAUCUUGGAAAAAAAUCACUUAUCUCACUCGCUCACCGCACGGCCACGGCCACGGCACAAUCCCUCACUCUCUCCCCGCCAAGGCGGCGGCGCCGCCAUGUCUACUCCCUGCUGCCUUCCCUCCACGGCAUUGCGUUCAGCCCACACUCUCCUCUCACUGCCGCCUCCCAUCCUCUCCAUGGCAUCAUCGUCCUGUCCACUCCCCGCCACGGUGUUGCCAACACAUCUGGCGCGACGAGCAGCCGGAUACGACCGGGAGGCGCAGAAGGCCUCACCGUUAUCCAUUCGCAGAGCCCGUCCAGUUUUGGGUGAGAUGACCUCGGGCACGAGGUGUGGCGCGAUGAGUUGGAUGGAUGGCGCCCUGGUCAUCGGACCCAGUCUUCUACCUCAGCCGAGACGCGCCGUCCAUCUCCAUGGUGUGGCCAUCCCAGGCAGCGGUGAAGUAGCCUCUGGGGAGAGCUCGACCGGGCGCGAGCACGGCAAGUAACUCAAGGCGCUGCAGCCGUGAGUGCCCCCCUCCCAAUCCUCCCCUCGCCUGCUAUUGCCUUAGGCUCUGUAGUUGGAGAAUCAAUUCACUCUCUCUAUUGAUCAUUGUGUGUUACAUACAUGGCAUUUAUACACAGGGCAUUGCCCGAGUCAUGAGGCACGUAGGCCCUCGAUCCUAUAUACGUGGGCAUGCACAACAUCCCAUUACAACACAACUCAACACCCCCCCCCCUUAGCCGAAACUCCAUUGGCAUGGACGUUGAGGCUGGAUCGGAACUCGUGGAACACCAGAGAUGGCAAGCAUUUUGUGAACAAAUCAGCAAAUUGUGAGCUCGAGGGGACGUGCAAGACCCGCACAUCACCGAAGGCAACGCGAUCACGUACAAAAUGAAGGUCUAUCUUGAUGUGUUUGGUGCGUUGAAGCUGAACCGGAUUGCACGCGAGGUAGGAUGCGCUGAUAUUGUCACAGUAAAUGAUGGUGGCUCGCUGUGGUGGACACUUGAGUUCAUGGAGGAGUUGGCGUAACCAGCAGGACUCGUCAACGUAGUUUGAAACACCACGAUACUCGGCCUCCGCGCUUGAACGAGAGACAGUGGCCUAUCGUUUGGAUGACCAAGAGAUGAGGUUGGAACCAAGGAAUACACAAAAACCGAACGUGGAUUUCCUCGUGUCAGGGCAACUGGCCCAAUCUGCAUCCGUGUAUGCAACGAGUUCCUUGGAGGAUGACUUUUAGAAUUGUAAGCCAUAGUGGGAAGUGCCUUGGAGGUAUCUCAGAAUAUGCUUGACGAGCUGCAUAUGCGUGUCGUGAGGCUCAUGCAUGAAGAGACACACUUGUUGGACGGCAUAAGAUAUGUCCGGCCGUGUCAAGGUGAGAUACUGAAGGGCACCUGCAAGACUGCGAUAGUAGGUGGGGUUGGAGAGGAGCUGACCAUGGGAGAGGGACAGCUUGGAGCUCAUGUCGAUGGGAGUAGAGACGGGCUUACAAUGUAACAUGUUGGCACGCUCAAGAACCUCCAAGGUGUACUGUUGCUGACUGAGGAAGAGCCCCGAGGAGGUGGUGGUGACGUUGAUGCCGAGGAAAUGGUGUAGGGGGGCCAUAUCGGUCAUGGAGAACUCAAACUUGAGAGCCGAGAUGACGUGGUGGAGUGUUUGUGGAGAGCUGGCUAUGAGAAUGAUAUCAUCUACAUACACAAGCAAGUAGGCGAUGGAGGUGCCGUGAUGGAGGAUGAAUAAGGAGGUGUCACUCUUGGAGCCAUGAAAGCCAAGAGAUAGAAGGAAGGCCCAAAAAUGAAGAAACCACGUGCGAGGAGCUUGCUUGAGGCCGUAGAGAGACUUGUGGAGGCGACAAACAUGAUCCAGACGAGUGAUGUCGACAAAACCAGCGGGUUGGGAGCAGUAGACGAGCUCGUUGAGAUCACUAUGAAGAAAUGCGUUCUUGACGUCCAUUUGGUGGAUGGGCCAAGAGUGAGAUGUGGCAAUGCUCAACACCACACGGAUGGUAGCCGGCUUAACCACCGGGCUGAACGUCUCAUCGUAGUCCGCACCUUCUCGUUGUGUGAAACCUCGAAGCACCCAACGAGCUUUGUACCGUGCUAAAGAGCCGUCCAUGUUGAAUUUGUGACGGUAGAUCCACUUCCCCGUGACCACAUUAACACCUGCAGGCUUAGGCACCAAAGACCACGUAGAGUUAUUCAUUAAAGCAGUGUAUUCAUCGAGCAUAGCUUGUCGCCAAUUUGGGUCCUUUAGGGCGGAUUUGUAAUUGGGUGGUAUAGGAGAGAUGGUGGUGGAUGGGGUGUCGACUAGAAAGAGGCAACGAGGCAUGCAAAAUCCAGAUUUGGCACGAGUGGACAUUUUGUGUGCAUUGUGAGGUGGUGCAACGGGUAAGGCGCGAGGCGGUACAUGAGGUGGUGUAGUGCAUGGGGGCGGCGAUCCCGAGGAAGAUGUGGUGGGGCUGGUGGCAGUCUGAUCCGAUCGGCAGGGCUCGUGGAGCGAGGAAGAUGCGGGCGCAGUGGGGCUGGCAGGUGCGGCAGAGGCGGACGACGAUUGGGUGGAGGUGGACGCGGUAUCCGCGGUAGUGGUGGACCCGCUAGAGCGGCCGGUGGGACGAGGACGCGUGGAGGGGCCAGGCGACGCGGGCGCGUCGCGACGCGCACGCACGGGCGUGCAUGGGGUGGUGGGGCUCGGAGAAUCUGGUGGAUCGGGUGUGUGACCCGAGGAAGCUGCGGCGGUCAGGGAUGGGGUAGGUGGGAUACGGUGUGCGGGAUCGUCUGUGGACGUGUUCACGUGUGGCGUGGUGUAUGGAAAAUUCGUUUCGUCAAAAAUGACAUGGCGAGAGACGAUAACACGGCGCGAUUCCAGAUCAAAGCACCUAUAACCCUUGUGCUCGAGGGGAUAUCCUAAGAAAACGCAGCGGACAGAGCGAGGGGAGAGCUUGUGGGACAUAGUGGAUAUAGGACCUUGAGAAGAGGUGUCUAGAGGGGGGGUGAUUAGACACUAAGUACCAACGUAGCAGUUUUUAAGCUUUUCUUGAAGUUUAAGUGGAGUUUAGGCACAAGUUUAACAUUCACAACACAUAUCAAGCAAGCAUGCAAAGAGUAUAUGAGCAGCGAAAAGUAAAGCAUGCAACUUGCAAGAAUGUAAAGGGAAGGGUUUUGAGGAUUCAAACGCAAUUGGAGACACGGAUGUUUUUGGCGUGGUUCCGAUAGGUGGUGCUAUCGUACAUCCACGUUGAUGGAGACUUCAACCCACGAAGGGUAACGGUUGCGCGAGUCCACGGAGGGCUCCACCCAUGAAGGGUCCACGAAGAAGCAACCUUGUCUAUCCCACCAUGGCCGUCGCCCACGAAGGACUUGCCUCACUAGCGGUAGAUGUUCACGAAGUAGGCGAUCUCCUUGCCCUUAAAAACUCCUUGGUUCAACUCCACAAUCUUUGUCAGAGGCUCCCAAGUGACACCUAGCCAAUCUAGGAGACACCACUCUCCAAGAAGUAACAAAUGGUGCGUUGAUGAUGAACUCCUUGCUCUUGUGCUUCAAAUGAUAGUCUCCCCAACAAUCAACUCUCUCUCAUAGGAUUUGGAUCUGGUGGAAAGAGGAUUUGAGUGGAAAGCAACUUAGGGAAGGCUAGAGAUCAAGAUUCAUAUGGUAGGAAUGGAAUAUCUUGGCCUCAACACAUGAGUAGGUGGUUCUCUCUCAGAAAUAGGAUACUGGAGGUGUAGGUUCGUCUGAUGGCUCUCUCCACGAAUGAAGAGGAGGUGGAGGGGUAUAUAUAGCCUCCACUCAAAAUCUAACCGUUACACACAAUUUACCAAACUCGGUGGGACCGAAUCGAGAAACUCGGUCAGACCGAUUUAGCAAAUAAUGUGACCGUUAGGGAUUUCGGUGGGACCGAAAUGCAACUCGGUAGGACCAAUUCGGUUAGGGUUAGGGCAUAACGUAAUCUCGGUGAGACCGAUUACACAAACUCGGUGAGACCGAUUUUGGUAACAAUCUAACUAGAGAGCUGGUCAAGCAAACUUGGUUGGACCGAUUACCAAACUCGAUGGGACCGAUUUUGAUAAUGAGUCGACUAGAAAGUUUGCAUUGUAAUCUCGGUAGUACCGAUUGCUCAAACUCGGUGAGACCGAUUUUGAUAAUGGACAUACACAGAGAGAUUACAAUCCCAUCUCGGUGAGACUGAGAUCCCUAUCGGUGAGACCGAUUUGCCUAGGGUUUGUGGCAGUGGCUAAGACAUCCAAACUCGGUGGCGCCGGAUAGAACGAAUCAGUGGAGCCGAGUUUGACUUUAGGUUUAGGACAUAUGUGUGGAAGUGGGGAAGCAGUUGAGGGUAUCUGGAGCAUAUACUAAGCACUUGAAGCAAGAGGCUCAUUAAGCAACACCUCAUCCCUCCUUGAUAGUAUUGGCUUUUCCUAUAGACUCAAUGUGAUCUUGGAUCACUGAAAUGUAAAAUGAAGAGUCUUGAGCUUGAAUCUUGAGCCAAUCCUUUGUCCUUAGCAUCUUGAAGGAGUUCCCACAUCCUUUAGUCCAUGCCACUCCAUUGUUGAACUUAUCUGAAAUAUACUAGAUAAAAGUGUUAGUCCAACAAGAGAUAUGUUGACAUUAAUUACCAAAACCACCUAGGGGGCACUUGUGCUUUCAAUCUCCCCCUUUUUUGUAAUUGAUGACAACAUACAUCAAAGCUUUAGAUAAAGAUUUAAUAAAUAGCGAGUAAAGCUUUGGAAAGACAUGUAACAAGCAUAGGCCCCCCUACAUGUAUGCAAUCAUGUGAAUAUUGAAAAUGGAAGCAUGUGAUAGCAUAACCAUGAUAGAGCAGGCAAUGUGUUACAUGUAUCUUGGCCAUAUGCAUCAGAGCAAAAAAAUAUUAAAGGAAAUACCUUCAUGCCCAUGAGUCCUUCUUGCAAAUAGUAUGUACAUCAGCAAGAAUUCCUCAUACACAUGAUUGUGAUGCAUAUAUUUACCUUGUAGUCUUGAGUUGCCUUAGGAUGGAAUGAACCUGCGUAAACAAGGUUAGAUAACACAGAUACAUCUACUAGCCAGAGCAAACAGAAGAAACCACAAGAAUACCAAGACUGGGAUGACAUGUAGAGAGUGAGUACUAAGUACUGCAUUGGAUUAGACAUGUCCCCAAGAGUAAAGAUAUGCAAUGAAUUUAGAUGAUUUCUUUCCCUUAGAUGUCUUGCUCCCCCUGAAUCUAACAUGGGAUACUGGGAGAAGAUAGGGAACAGAAAAUCAGAGCUAAAAGAUAUAAAUGAACAGAGCUAAUGCAAACUAAUGAAAGUAAGCACACAUGAACAUGUCUUUCCCCUCAAGAAGACAUGUGGCAUCUUUCCUCUUGAACACCAAGCAUCUGGGAUCCUUGAGAAAUACUUUCUACUAGUAUUCUCUCCCCCUGGAGAUCUCUCUCUCUCUCCCUGAAGGAUCUCUCUCCCCCUGAGAAGGUGAUACUCUCUCUCUGAUGUGAUCUCUCUCUCUCUAAAUGAUAAGCUUUGAUGUGAUCUCUCUCUCCCCCUUUGACAUCAAUUUCCAAGAAGGGCUUGAUAAAGAUGUAAUCUCUCUCUCUCCCUCUAGAAUUUGUCGUGAAUGGGUUUGAUCCUUGAGUCACAACAUAAAGCAAUGAUUGAAAAUGUGAUGCUUGUAGAGGACAAGAUUCAUUAAGUGGAGCUGGAUCAGAAGAAACACAGAAUAAGUGGCAAACUGUUUUUCCUGUUGUGAAAUCGGUGGCACCGAGUUAGAGACUUCGGUGGUACCGAAAAUUUUCGGUUGGACCGAAAAGAACAAAUCGGUGGAACCGAGUUCAUCACAGAGAAAACACUUGUCACCUCAGCUCACUAGACUAAUAAGAUCUCACAAAGAUUUGCAAGGAAUUUACUGAAUGAUAUGCAAGGAAUUGGAUGCAGAAAAUGCAGAGCAAACAGAAAGAAAUCUAGAUGAAGUUUUUUUUUGAAAGGGGAAACGAAUAUGCAUGAGACAAAUGCAAAAACACAGAAGAAAACACAAGGGAACUUCAUCUAGAAAUGGUCGGCGACAAAGUCACCUAUGUUAGAGUAUAUUGACUUAGGAGUCAAGUGAGAUCACUUGAUCAUAGGUCAUACUCAUCGUUUAAGCUCAAAAUGGGGUUACCAUUUUUCGUUUAAGCAUCUUGAUGUAUUCACAUCUUGUCGAGUUGCUUUAACUCAUGACUUGGAGUAAGGCUUCUCUAAGAUGGAAUAACAUACCUCGGUUGGUGGUGAUGUCCAUGUAGUUGAACUUGCGUGGGUUGCUCAAGGUUGAUGUAGCUCAACAAAAGUUGGGAGAACCACUUGAAAUUUGAGUCCAUCUACCUACAUGGGUUAGUUCUUGCAAGGAAGAGCACUUGUGUAUCCAAAAAUUGACAAUCAUGAAGCUCAACAUAGAAUUUGUCAAAGGAUAUGUUCGAAUGGUUUCGUGCUUCCUUGUCUUCAACCACCUUUGUGUAGAGACUUGGUGAUGUAGAGAUUGCUCAAGAUAUGAGUAGGUUACAAUCUCAUGGAAUUUGAUUCAACCAAGUACCUAUAUGGGUUAGAUAACAUGCAAGAUACAAAUAUAACCAAGACGUAAGAUUUUCAUCAUAAGAGAAAUAUCAAGGAUUAGUCAUAAGCUCAUGUCUUGCAUGUAUCCAAUGGAGUUUCUACUCCAAGUUUGAAGCAUCAAUGAUGUUCAAUUCUCCUCUCAACCUGCAAAACACUUUCUCAUCAAGAGGUUUAGUGAAUAUAUCCGCUAACUGCUUUUCGUUGCGAACAUGCUUAAGAUCAAUGUCACCCUUAGCAACAUGAUCUCGAAUGAAAUGAUGACGAACUUCAAUAUGCUUAGUUCGAGAAUGUUGCACAGGAUUAUGACCAAUUUUGAUAGCACUUUCAUUGUCACAAAGCAAUGGAACAUGUUUCACAUAUAUCCCAUAAUCUUUAAGAGUUUGGGUCAUCCAAAGUAAUUGAGCACAACAUGAACCAGCGGCAAUGUACUCUGCUUCGGCGGUGGAUAAGUAUACUGAGUUUUGUUUCUUGGAAGACCAAGACACAAGAGAUCUACCAAGAAAUUGACAAGUACCCGAAGUAGACUUUCUAUCAACCUUGUCUCCGGCAUAGUCUGAUUUAGAGUAGCCAACAAGAUUGAAAGAGGCCCUCUUAGGAUACCAAAUGCCAAAAUUUGGUGUAUGUAUCAAGUAUCUCACUAUCCUUUUCACAGCCUUAAGAUGACAUUCUUUAGGAGCAGCUUGAUAUCGUGCACACAUGCACACACUUAGCAUAAUAUCGGGACGUGAAGCACAUAGAUAUAACAAUGAACCAAUCAUAGAGCGAUAAACCUUUUGAUCGACCGGUUCACCAUCUUUGGUCAAAUCAAGAUGUCCACUAGUAGGCAUGGGUGUAGACAUACCUUUGCAUUCUUGCAUACUGAACUUCUUGAAUAAGUCCUUAGUGUACUUCGUUUGAGAGACAAAAGUACCUUCCUUAGUUUGCUUGAUUUGCAACCCAAGAAAGAAUUUGAGUUCACUCAUCAUAGACAUCUCAAACUUCUCUGACAUUAGCUUCCCAAACUUUUCACUAAAAUGAGGGUUAGUUGAACCAAAUAUAAUAUCAUCAACAUAGAUUUGGCACACAAAUAGUUCACCAUUAACCCUUUUAGUAAAAAGAGUAGAAUCAAUUUUCCACAAUUUCAAAGCCUUUUUCAAUAAGGAACUUGGUCAAGCAUUUAUACCAUGCUCUAGGAGCUUGUUUAAGACCAUAAAGAGCUUUGUGAAGUCUGUAAACAUGAUUGGGUUUCUUAGGAUUGACAAAGCCGGGAGGUUGUUUAACAUAAACUUCCUCCUCUAUUUCACCAUUUAGAAAAGCACUUUUAAUGUCCAUUUGGUACAAGGUGAUAUUAUGGUGAUUAGCAUAGGCAAGUAAGAUGCGGAUAGACUCAAGUCUAGCAACGGGGGCGUAAGUCUCACCAUAGUCCAUACCUUCGACUUGUGUGUAGCCUUGGGCGACGAGACAUGCUUUGUUGCGAACAACUUGUCCAUCUUCAUCUUGCUUGUUGCAAAACACCCAUUUGGUACCGAUGAUGUUGUGGUUGUUGUCGGGCUUCUCAACCAAUGUCCAAACUUGGUUUCUCUCAAAGUUGUGUAGCUCUUCGUGCAUAGCAUUUAUCCAUUCCGGAUCUUCCAAUGCUUCUUCGACCUUCAUAGGUUCAAUGCUAGAGAUGAAAGAAUAGUUUUCACAAAAGUUAGCUAGACGAGUUUUAGAGCGAGUGAUUCUCUCGGUUUGAAUAUCAUUGUAGAUUUGCUCGACGGGAUGGUCUUUAGCAAUUCUUGCUCGAACUCGUGAAAGCUUUUGCUUGGAUCUUCGUUGAACAUCUUCUUCAUCUUGUUCUUCUUCUUGGCCUUCUUCAUUGUUGGCAUUGUCGUUCUCUUGUCAUGGUGGAGAAGGAGGUUGUUGACGUUCAUCUUGAUGCACUUCCUCAUUUCCUUCAUCUUGGUGUUUCCCACUUGUGGAUGCUUCUGUAUCAACUCUUGGUUCACCUUGUCGUGAAGUAGAAGAUUCCACUUGGACAAAUGAGGUACUCUCCUUCACCUCCGUUGGAUGGACCUUGCCAAUAGACAAGUCUUGGAUUGCUUCCAAAGGAUCUUUGUCUCCUACAUCAAUUGGCAAUCGCUCUACUUGCGAGCCGUUAGAUUCAUCAAACUUCACAUCUACCGUCUCUUCAACCUUUCGGGUGAAAUUGUUGUAGACACGGUAUGUGUGAGAGUUUGAGCCAUAACCUAGUAGGAAACCUUCAUGAGACUUAGGAGCAAAUUUAGAACGACGAUGCUUAUCAAGAAUGUAGCACUUAGAGCUGAAUACUCGAAAGUAUCCAACUUGGGGUUUGUUACCGGUGAGUAGCUCGUAUGCCGUCUUGCCGAGUAGCUUGUGAAGAUACAAGCGAUUUGUUGCAUGACAAGUUGUCUCAACUGCUUCUGCCCGAAAGUGCUUCGGCGUCUUGUACUCAUCAAGCAUCGUUCUCGCCAUUUCGAUGAGCGUCCGGUUCUUCCUCUCAACAACUCCAUUUUGUUGAGGUGUGUACGUAGCCGAGAACUCGUGUGAAAUCCCUUCUUCGUCAAGAAAGGUGUCCACAUUUGCAUUCUUGAACUCCGUUCCGUUGUCGCUGCGAACCUUCUUGAUCUUCACUUCAAUUUGAUUUUGGGCCUUCCUAGCGAAGUUUUUGAAGAUCUUCUGAACCUGAGAUUUAUCAUCAAGAAAGAACACCCACGUAAAUCUGGAAAAAUCAUCAACUAUAACUAGACCAAAAGAAUUUCCACCGAGACUCUUGUAAGAGUUGGGACCAAAGAGAUCCAUGUGAAGUAGCUCGAGUGGCCUCUUUGUGGUCAUGAUGUUCUUCACGGGAUGCCUUCCUCCAACCUGUUUACCUGCUUGACAAGCACUGCAAAGUCUAUCCUUAUCAAAUAUGACAUCAUUAACUCCAAGGAUAUGAUUUCCCUUAAGAUUGUCAAGGUUUCUCAUGCCAACGUGACCUAGUCGUCUAUGCCAUAACCAACCUUUUGAGGAUUUAGCAAUGAAGCAAGUUUUAGGUUGGGCCUUUUUAGUGAAAUCAACAAUGUAUAGAUCACCUCUACGUAUGCCGGUAAAGACCUUUUUAUGAUUGUCUCGACGAAACACUUGGCAAUCAACUUCAGUAAAUAGGACAUUGAAACCAAAGUCAGCAAGUCUAGAUACUGAAAGUAAGUUGUAUCCAAGAGAUUCAACGAGCAUGACAUUUUGUAUGGAGCUAUCAUGUGAGAUGGCCACCUUACCGAGGCCAACCACCUUACCCUUUGAGUUGUCACCGAAAGUGACAUACUUUCGAGGACUAUCAUUAUCAGCAAGCUCACGAAACAUGUCUCUAUCUCCGGUCAUGUGAUCGGUACUGUUGGAAAUAUGCCCUAGAGGCAAUAAUAAAAGGAUUAUUAUUAUAUUUCCUUGUUCAUGAUACUUGUCUUUUAUUCAUGCUAUAAUUGUAUUAUCCAGAAAUUGUAAUACACGUGUGAAUACAUAGACCACAAUAUGUCCCUAGUGAGCCUCUAGUUGACUAGCUCGUUGAUCAACAGAUAGUCAUGGUUUCCUGACUAUGGACAUUAGAUGUCAUUGAUAACGGGAUCACAUCAUUAGGAGAAUGAUGUGAUGGACAAGACCCAAUCCUAAGCAUAGCACAAGAUCGUGCAGUUCGUUUUGCUAGAGCUUUUCCAAUGUCAUGUAUCUUUUCCUUAGACCAUGAGAUCGUGUAACUCCCGGAUACCGUAGGAGUGCUUUGGGUGUACCAAACGUCACAACGUAACUGGGUGACUAUAAAGGUGCACUACAGGUAUCUCCGAAAGUGUCUGUUGGGUUGACACGGAUCGAGACUAGGAUUUGUCUCUCCGUAUGACGGAGAGGUAUCUCUGGGCCCACUCGAUAAUGCAUCAUCAUAAUGAGCUCAAAGUGACCAAGUGUCUGGUCACGGGAUCAUGCAUUAUGGUACGAGUAAAGUGACUUGCCGGUAACGAGAUUGAACGAGGUAUUGGGAUACCGACGAUCGAAUCUCGGGCAAGUAACAUACUGAUUGACAAAGGGAAUUGUAUACGGGGUUGCUUAAAUCCUCGACAUCGUGGUUCAUCCGAUGAGAUCAUCGAGGAGCAUGUGGGAGCGAACAUGGGUAUCCAGAUCCCGCUGUUGGUUAUUGACCAGAGUGUCGUCUCGGUCAUGUCUACAUGUCUCCCGAACUCGUAGGGUCUACACACUUAAGGUUCGGUGACGCUAGGGUUGUAUGAAUAUGAGUAUGCAGCAAACAGAAAGUUGUUCGGAGUCCCGGAUGAGAUACCGGAUGUCACGAGGAGUUCCGGAAUGGUCCGGAGGUAAAGAAUUAUAUAUGGGAAGUCGAGUUUCGACCAUCGGGAAAGUUUCGGGGUCCACCGGUAUUGUACCGGGACCACCAAAAGGGUCCCGGGGGUCCACCGGGUGGGGCCACCUAUCCCGGAGGGCCCCAUGGGCUGAAGUGGGAGGGGAACCAUCCCCUAGUGGGCUGGUGCACACCCCCUGGGCCCCCUUCUGUGCCUAGGGUUGGGAACCCUAGGGGAGGGGGCGCCUCCACUUGCCUUGGGGGGCACUCCACCCCUCUUGGCCGCCCCCCCCCCUAGAGAUCCCAUCUCUAGGGCCGGCGCCCCCUAGGGUCCCUAUAUAAAGAGGGGGGUGGAAGGGCAGCCGCACCCAACACCCUGGCGCCUCCCUCCCCUCCCUGCUACACCUCCUCCUCCCGUAGUUGCUUGGCUAAGCCCUACCGGAGUCCUGCUGCAUCCACCACCACGCCCUUGUGCUGCUGGAUCUUCAUCAACCUCUCCUUCCCCCUUGCUGGAUCAAGAAUGAGGAGACGUCACACUGACCGUACGUGUGUUGAACGCGGAGGUGCCGUCCGUUCGGUGCUAGGAUCUCCGGUGAUUUGGAUCACGACGAGAACGACUCCCUCAACCCCGUUCUCUUGAAUGCUUCCGCACGUGAUCUACAAGGGUAUGUAGAUGCACUCCUCUCUAUCGUUGCUAGAUGAACUCAUAGAUUGAUCUUGGUGAACGUAGAAAAAAAUUAAUUUUAUGCAACGUUCCCCAACAGUGGCAUCAUGAGCUAGGUCUAUGCGUAGUUCUCUAUUGCACGAGUAGAACACAAAUCUGUUGCGGUCGUAGAUCUUGUCAACUUGCUUGCCACUACUAGUCUUAUUUUUCUUCAGUGGUAUUGUGGGAUGAAGCGGCCCGGACCGACCUUACACGUACGCUUAUGUGAGACAGGUUCCACCGACUGACAUGCACUAGUUGCAUAAGGUGGCUAGCGGGUGUUUGUCUCUCCCACUUUAGUUGGAGCGGAUUCAAUGAAAAGGGUCCUUAUGAAGGGUAAAUAGAAGUUGUCAAAAUCACGUUGUGGUUAUUCGUAGGUAAGAAAACGUUCUUUCUAGAACCCAAUUGCAGAGACGUAAAAGAUGCAACAACAAUUAGAGGACGUCUAACUUGUUUUUGCAGCAAUUGCUAUGUGAUGUGAUAUGGCCAAAAGUUGUGAUGAAUGAUGAAUGAUAUAUUGUGAUGUAUGAGAUCAUGUUCUUGUAAUAGGAAUCACGACUUGCAUGUCGAUGAGUAUGACAACCGGCAGGAGCCAUAGGAGUUGUCUUAAUUAUUGUAUGACCUGCGUGUCAAUGAUUUAACGUCAUGUAAUUACUUUACUUUAUUGCUAAACCAUUAGCCAUAGUAGUAGAAGUAAUAGUUGGCGAGCAACUUCAUGGAGACACGAUGAUGGAGAUCAUGAUGAUGGAGAUCAUGGUGUCAUGCCGGUGAAGAAUAUGAUCAUGGAGCCCCGAAGAUGGAGAUCAAAGGAGCUAUAUGAUAUUGGCCAUAUCAUGUCACUACUAUAUAAUUGCAUGUGAUGUUUAUUAUGUUUAUGCAUCUUGUUUACUUAGAACGACGGUAGUAAAUAAGAUGAUCCCUUAUAACAAUUUCAAGAAAGUGUUCUCCCCUAACUGUGCGUCGUUGCUAAAGUUCGUCGUUUCGAAGCACCACGUGAUGAUCGGGUGUGAUAUAUUCUUACAUUCACAUACAACGGGUGUAAGACAGUUUUACACAUGCGAAACACUUAGGGUUAACUUGACGAGCCUGGCAUGUACAGACAUGGCCUCGAAACACAGAGACCGAAAGGUCGAACAUGAGUCGUAUGGAAGAUACGAUCAACAUGGAGAUGUUCACCGAUGAUGACUAGUCCGUCUCACGUGAUGAUCGGACACGGCCUAGUCGACUCGGAUCGUGUAACACUUAGAUGACUAGAGGGAUGUCUAAUUUGAGUGGGAGUUCAUUAAAUAAUUUGAUUAGAUGAACUUAAUUAUCAUGAACUUAGUCUAAAAUCUUUGCAAAAUAUGUCUUGUAGAUCAAAUGGCCAACGCUCAUGUCAACAUGAACUUCAACGCGUUCCUAGAGAAAACCAAGCUGAAAGAUGAUGGCAGCAACUAUUCGGACUGGGUCCGGAACCUGAGGAUCAUCCUCAUAGCUGCCAAGAAAGCAUAUGUCCUAGAAGGACAGCUAGGUGAAGCACCCAUCCCAGAGAACCAAGACAUUAUGAACGCUUGGCAGUCAUGUGCUGAUGAUUACUCCCUCAUUCAGUGCGGCAUGCUUUACAGCUUAGAACCGGGGCUCCAAAAGCGUUUUGAGCGACACGGAGCAUAUGAGAUGUUCGAGGAGCUGAAAAUGGUUUUCCAAGCUCAUGCCCGGGUCGAGAGAUAUGAAGUCUCCGACAAGUUCUAUAGUUGUAAGAUGGAGGAAAAUAGUUCUGUCAGUGAGCACAUACUCAAAAUGUCUGGGUUGCACAACCGCCUAUCCCAGCUGGACAUUAACCUCCUGGACGAGGCGGUCAUUGACAGAAUCCUUCAGUCGCUCCCACUGAGCUACAAGAGCUUUGUGAUGAACUACAAUAUGCAGGGGAUGGUGAAAACUAUUCCUGAAGUAUUUUCAAUGCUGAAGUCAGCAGAGGUAGAAAUCAAGAAAGAACAUCAAGUGUUGAUGGUCAAUAAAACCACCAAGUUCAAGAAGGGCAAGGGAAAGAAGAACUUCAAGAAGGACGGCAAAGAUGUUGCCGCGCCCGGUAAGCCAGUUGCCGGGAAGAAGUCAAAGAAUGGACCCAAGCCUGAGACUGAGUGCUUUUAUUGCAAAGGGAAGGGUCACUGGAAGCGGAACUGCCCCAAAUACUUAGCGGACAAGAAGGCCGGCAACACUAAAGGUAUAUUUGAUAUACAUGUAAUUGAUGUGUACCUUACCAGUACUCGUAGUAACUCCUGGGUAUUUGAUACCGGUGCCGUUGCUCAUAUUUGUAACUCACAGCAGGAGCUGCGGAAUAAGCGGAGAUUGGCGAAGGACGAGGUGACGAUGCGCGUCGGAAAUGGUUCCAAGGUCGAUGUGAUCGCCGUCGGCACGCUACCUCUACAUUUACCCACGGGAUUAGUUUUAAACCUCAAUAAUUGUUAUUUAGUGCCAAGUUUGAGCAUGAACAUUGUAUCUGGAUCUCGUUUGAUGCGAGAUGGCUACUCAUUUAAAUCCGAGAAUAAUGGUUGUUCUAUUUAUAUGAGAGAUAUGUUUUAUGGUCAUGCCCCGAUGGUCAAUGGUUUAUUCUUAAUGAAUCUCGAACGUAAUGUUACACAUAUUCAUUGUGUGAAUACCAAAAGAUGUAAAGUUGAUAACGAUAGUCCCACAUACUUGUGGCACUGCCGCCUUGGUCACAUUGGUGUCAAGCGCAUGGAGAAGCUCCAUGCUGAUGGACUUUUAGAGUCUCUCGGUUAUGAAUCAUACAUACGGAUGUGUGCGGUCCAAUGAGCGUUGAGGCUCGCGGAGGAUAUCAUUAUGUUCUCACUCUCACUGAUGACUUGAGUAGAUAUGGGUAUGUCUACUUGAUGAAACACAAGUCUGAGACCUUUGAAAAGUUCAAGGAAUUUUAGAGUGAAGUAGAGAAUCAACAUGACCGAAAGAUAAAAUUCUUACGAUCAGAUCGUGGAGGAGAAUAUUUAAGUCACGAAUUUGGUAUGCACUUAAGAAAAUGUGGAAUCGUUUCACAACUCACGCCGCCUGGAACACCUCAGCGUAACGGUGUGUCCGAACGUCGCAAUCGCAUUCUAUUGGAAAUGGUGCGAUCUAUGAUGUCUCUUACCGAUUUACCGCUAUCAUUUUGGGGAUAUGCUCUAGAGACAGCUACAUUCACUUUAAAUAGGGCUCCGUCUAAAUCCGUUGAGACGACACCGUAUGAAUUAUGGUUUGGGAAGAAACCUAAGCUGUCGUUUCUAAAAGUUUGGGGAUGCGAUGCUUAUGUCAAGAAACUUCAACCUGAAAAACUCGAACCCAAGUCGGAAAAAUGUGUCUUCAUAGGAUACCCUAAGGAAACCAUUGGGUAUACCUUCUAUUUAAGAUCCCAGGGCAAGAUCUUUGUUGCCAAGAACAGAUCCUUUCUGGAAAAAGAGUUUCUCUCGAAAGAAGUAAGUGGGAGGAAAGUAGAACUUGAUGAAGUACUACCUCUUGAACCGGAAAGUAGUGCAGCUCAGGAAAAUGUUCCUGUGGUGCCUACACCGACUGGGGAGGAAAUUAAUGGUGAUGAUCAAGGUACUUCGGAUCAAGUUGCUACUGAACUUCGUAGGUCCACUAGGACACGUUCCACACCAGAGUGGUAUGGCAACCCUGUCCUGGAAAUCAUGUUGUUAGACAAUGGUGAACCUUCGAACUAUGAAGAAGCGAUGGCGGGCCCAGAUUCCAACAAAUGGCUUGAAGCCAUGCAAUCCGAGAUAGAAUCCAUGUAUGAAAACAAAGUAUGGACUUUGACAGACUUGCCCGAUAAUCGGCGAGCGAUAGAAAACAAAUGGAUCUUUAAGAAGAAGACAGACGCGGAUGGUAAUGUUACCAUCUAUAAAGCUCGACUUCUCGCUAAGGCUUAUCGGCAAGUUCAAGGGGUUGACUACGAUGAGACUUUCUCUCCCGUAGCGAAGCUGAAGUCCGUCCGAAUCAUGUUAGCAAUUGUCGCAUACUAUGAUUAUGAGAUAUGGCAUAUGGACGUCAAAACGGCAUUCCUUAACGGCUAUCUUAAGGAAGAACUGUAUAUGAUGCAGCCGGAGGGUUUUGUCGAUCCUAAGAAUGCUAACAAGGUAUGCAAGCUCCAGCGAUCCAUUUAUGGGCUGGUGCAAGCAUCUCGGAGUUGGAACAUUCGCUUUGAUGAGAUGAUCAAAGUGUUUGGGUUUAUGCAGACUUAUGGAGAAGCCUGCGUUUACAAGAAAGUGAGUGGGAGCUCUGUAGCAUUUCUCAUAUUAUAUGUAGAUGACAUACUUUUGAUGGGAAAUGAUAUAGAACUUUUGGACAGCAUUAAGGCCUACUUGAAUAAGUGUUUUUCAAUGAAGGACCUUGGAGAAGCUGCUUACAUAUUAGGCAUCAAGAUCUAUAGGGAUAGAUCGAGACGCCUCAUAGGUCUUUCACAAAGCACAUACCUUGAUAAGAUUUUGAAGAAGUUCAAAAUGGAUCAGUCCAAGAAAGGGUUCUUGCCUGUAUUACAAGGUGUGAGAUUGAGCUCGGCUCAAUGCCCGACCACGGCAAAAGAUAAAGAAGAGAUGAGUGGCAUCCCCUAUGCCUCGGCCAUAGGAUCUAUUAUGUAUGCCAUGCUGUGUACUAGACCUGAUGUAAACCUUGUCGUAAGUUUGGUAGGAAGGUACCAAAGUAAUCCCGGCAAGGAACACUGGACAGCGGUCAAGAAUAUCAUGAAGUACCUGAAAAGGAAAAAAGGACAUGUUUCUCAUUUAUGGAGGUGACGAAGAGCUCGUCGUAAAGGGUUACGUCAAUGCUAGCUUCGACACAGAUCUAGAUGACUCUAAGUCACAAACCGGAUACGUGUAUAUGUUGAAUCGUGGAGCAGUAAGCUGGUGCAGUUGCAAGCAGAGCGUCGUGGCGGGAUCUGCAUGUGAAGCGGAGUACAUGGCAGCCUCGGAGGCAGCGCAUGAAGCAAUAUGGAUGAAGGAGUUCAUCACCGACCUAGGAGUCAUACCCAAUGCAUCGGGGCCAAUCACUCUCUUCUGUGACAACACUGGAGCUAUUUCCCUUGCCAAGGAGCCCAGGUUUCACAAGAAGACCAGGCACAUCAAGCGUCGUUUCAACUCCAUCCGUGAAAAUGUUCAAGAUGGAGACAUAGAUAUUUGCAAAGUACAUACGGAUCUGAAUGUCGCAGAUCCGUUGACUAAACCUCUUCCACGAGCAAAACAUGAUCAACACCAGAACUCGAUGGGUGUUCGAUUCAUCACAAUGUAACUAGAUUAUUGACUCUAGUGCAAGUGGAAGACUGUUGGAAAUAUUCCCUAGAGGCAAUAAUAAAAGGAUUAUUAUUAUAUUUCCUUGUUCAUGAUAAUUGUCUUUUAUUCAUGCUAUAAUUGUAUUAUCCGGAAAUCGUAAUACACGUGUGAAUACAUAGACCACAAUAUGUCCCUAGUGAGCCUCUAGUUGACUAGCUCGUUGAUCAACAGAUGGUCAUAGUUUUCUGACUAUGGACAUUAGAUAUCAUUGAUAAUGGAAUCACAUCAUUAGGAGAAUGAUGUGAUGGACAAGACCCAAUCCUAAGCAUAGCACAAGAUCGUGUAGUUCGUUUUGCUAGAGCUUUUCCAAUGUCAAGUAUCUUUUCCGUAGACCAUGAGAUCGUGUAACUCCCGGAUACCGUAGGAGUGCUUUGGGUGUACCAAACGUCACAACAUAACUGGGUGACUAUAAAGGUGCACUACAGGUAUCUCCGAAAGUGUUUGUUGGGUUGACACGGAUAGAGACUGGGAUUUGUCACUCCGUAUGAUGGAGAGGUAUCUCUGGGCCCAAUCGGUAAUGCAUCAUCAUAAUGAGCUCAAAGUGACCAAGUGUCUGGUCACGGGAUCAUGCAUUACAGUAUGAGUAAAGUGACUUGCCGGUAACGAGAUUGAACGAGGUAUUGGGAUACCGACGAUCGAAUCUCGGGCAAGUAACGUACCGAUUGACAAAGGGAAUUGUAUACGGGGUUGCUUAAAUCCUCGACAUCGUGGUUCAUCCGAUGAGAUCAUCGAGGAGCAUGUGUGAGCCAACAUGGGUAUCCAGAUUCCGAUGUUGGUUAUUGACCGGAGAGCCGUCUCGGUCAUGUCUACAUGUCUCCCGAACCCGUAGGGUCUACACACUUAAGGUUCGGUGACGCUAGGGUUGUAUGAAUAUGAGUAUGCAGCAAACCGAAAGUUGUUUGGAGUCCCGAAUGAGAUCCAGGACAUCACGAGGAGUUCCGGAAUGGUCCGGAGGUAAAGAAUUAUAUAUGGGAAGUCGAGUUUCGGCCAUCGGGAAAGUUUCGGGGUCCACCGGUAUUGUACCGGGACCACCGGAAGGGUCCCGGGGGUCCACCAGGUGGGGCCACCUAUCCCGGAGGGCCCCAUGGGCUGAAGUGGGAGGGGAACCAGCCCCUAGUGGGCUGGUGCGCGCCCCCUUGGGCUCCCCUCUGCGCCUAGGGUUGGGAACCCUAGGGGAGGGGGCGCCUCCACUUGCCUUGGGGGGCACUCCACCCCCCUUGGCCGCCCCCCCUAGAGAUCCCAUCUCUAGGGCCGGUGCCCCCUGGGGUCCUUAUAAAGAGGGGGGUGGGAGGGCAGUCACACCCAACACCCUGGCGCCUCCCUCCCCUCCCUGCUACACCUCCUCCUCCCGUAGUUGCUUGGUGAAGCCCUGCCAGAGUCCUGCUGCAUCCACCACCACGGCGUCGUGCUGCUGGAUCUUCAUCAACCUCUCCUUCCCCCUUGCUGGAUCAAGAAGGAGGAGACGUCACGCUGACCGUACGUGUGUUGAACGCGUAGGUGCCGUCCGUUCGGCGCUAGGAUCUCCGGUAAUUUGGAUUACGACGAGAAUGACUCCCUAACCCCGUUCUCUUGAACGCUUCCGCACGCGAUCUACAAGGGUAUGUAGAUGCACUCCUCUCUCUCGUUGCUAGAUGAACUCAUAGAUUGAUCUUGUUGAACGUAGAAAAAAAUUUAUUUUAUGCAACGUUCCCCAAUAGGUACAUCCACUGUCAAGGACCCAUUCCUUUCCUCCUGACAUAUAUCCCCGAAGAUUUGCCAUAAGACCAAAAUGUCUCAUUGCAUCAUCAAGAUCGAAGUCACUAUCAUCAUCCUCAUCAUAGUAUCCAUGUUCAACAUCGUCAUGUGGUGGAUCAAAUCCUAGAGAGGGUGAUUCGUUAGAGUGAGUUUGACAAUGAUCUUGUCUAUGAAUUUUUAUAGCUUCGGAAAUAAUAUCACUAAUAAUACCAACAUUUCCUUUGGCACGCAUAAGGUUUGUAAGCUCAAAUAGACGAUCACCAAACAUAGGAUCACUAGUAUUCAUUUUACUCAAAGCAAUAUACUUAUGGAGAAUUUCAUCAAGAUUUUUCAAAGAAUAAUCAGGAAAUCUUUCCUCAAGAAAUUUCCAUAUAGUGUAGGCACACUCAAGAGUAGGCAGUUUUAUAAUCAAGUUUCUAGGCAAGCCUCUAGUGAUAAGAUUAACAGUUCUAACAUUCCUAAUCAUGUCAAUAGACUCAUCAAGGGUAGGAUGCAUAGGAUCAACACAAGGUGCACAAGGACUAGUGAUGUACUUGUUCAAAUGAUAUUGAUUGAAAAUUACAAGCAUCUCAUUUUUCCACUCAUGAAAGUACUCUCCAUCAAGAAUAUGCACUCUAUGUCUAAGACUCCCCAAAGUAGACUCAUCCAUCUUCCUCCAAUGGUGAUUAAACCAAAGCAAUGGAGACCAAUGCUCUGAUACCACUUGUAGAACCUUGAGAAGAGGUGUCUAGAGGGGGGUGAUUAGACAUUAAGUACCAACGUAGCAGUUUUUAAGCUUUUCUUGAAGUUUAAGUGGAGUUUAGGCACAAGUUUAACAUUCACAACACAUAUCAAGCAAGCAUGCAAAGAGUAUAUGAGUAGCGGAAAGUAAAGCAUGCAACUUGCAAGAAUGUAAAGGGAAGGGUUUUGAGGAUUCAAACGCAAUUGGAGACACGGAUGUUUUUGGCGUGGUUCCGAUAGGUGGUGCUAUCGUACAUCCAUGUUGAUGGAGACUUCAACCCACGAAGGGUAACGGUUGCGCGAGUCCACGGAGGGCUCCACCCAUGAAGGGUCCACGAAGAAGCAACAUUGUCUAUCCCACCAUAGCCGUCGCCCACGAAGGACUUGCCUCACUAGCGGUAGAUCUUCAUGAAGUAGGCGAUCUCCUUGCCCUUAAAAACUCCUUGGUUCAACUCCACAAUCUUUGUCGGAGGCUCCCAAGUGACACCUAGCCAAUCUAGGAGAUACCACUCUCCAAGAAGUAACAAAUGGUGCGUUGAUGAUGAACUCCUUGCUCUUGUGCUUCAAAUGAUAGUGUCCCCAACACUCAACUCUCUCUCAUAGGAUUUAGAUCUGGUGGAAAGAGCAUUUGAGUGGAAAGCAACUUGGAGAAGGCUAGAGAUCAAGAUUCAUAUGGUAGGAAUGGAAUAUCUUGGCCUCAACACAUGAGUAGGUGGUUCUCUCUCAGAAAUAGGAUACUGGAGGUGUAGGUUCGUCUGAUGGCUCUCUCCACGAAUGAAGAGGAGGUGGAGGGGUAUAUAUAGCCUCCACUCAAAAUCUAACCGUUACACAGAAUUUACCAAACUCGGUGGGACCGAAUCAAGAAACUCGAUCAGACCGAUUUAGCAAAUAAUGUGACCGUUAGGGAUUUUGAUGGGACCGAAAUGCAACUCGGUAGGACCGAUUCGGUUAGGGUUAGGGCAUAACGUAAUCUCGGUGAGACCGAUUUUGGUAACAAUCUAACCAGAGAGUUGGUCAAGCAAACUCGGUUGGACCGAUUAUCAAAAUCGGGGGGACCGAUUUUGAUAAUGAGUCAACCAGAAAGUUUGCAUUGUAAUCUCGGUAGUACCGAUUGCUCAAACUCGGUGAGACCGAUUUUGAUAAUGGACAUACACAAAGAGAUUACAAUCCCAUCUCGGUGAGACCGAGAUCCCUAUCGGUGAGACCGAUUUGCCUAGUGUUUGUGGCAGUGGCUAAGACAUCCAAACUCGGUGGCGCCGGAUAGAACGAAUCAGUGGAGCCAAGUUUGACUUUAGGUUUAGUACAUAUGUGUGGAAGUGGGAAAGCAGUUGAGGGUAUUUGGAGCAUAUCACUAAGCACUUGAAGCAAGAGGCUCAUUAAGCAACACCUCAUCCCUCCUUGAUAGUAUUGGCUUUUCCUAUAGACUCAAUGUGAUCUUGGAUCACUGAAAUGUAAAAUGAAGAGUCUUGAGCUUGAAGCUUGAGCCAAUCCUUUGUCCUUAGCAUCUUGAAGGAGUUCCCACAUCCUUUAGUCCAUGCCACUCCAUUGUUGAACUUAUCUGAAAUAUACUAGAUAAAAGUGUUAGUCCAACAAGAGAUAUGUUGACAUUAAUUACCAAAACCACCUAGGGAGCACUUGUGCUUUCAGUGGAGGAUGUGUUAGGGAAGCAUAGGCAACCAAAGACAUGGAGGUGGUCGUACGUGGGGUGUGAGCCGUGAAGGAGAUAAUAUGGUGUAACACCGGCAAUGACUCGGGAGGGGCGUCAGUUAAGCAAGUACGUAGCGGUGUGAAGUGCUUCUACCCAAAAGGGAGGGGUGAGAUUUCUUGGAAAAGUAGGGUACGCACGAUGUCGUUGGUGGUACGGAGGAGGCGUUCAGCCUUGCCAUUUUGAGGCGACGUGUGUGGGCAGGAGAAACGGUAAGCGACGCCGUGGAGGGAGAAAAACGAUCGGAGGGCGUUGUUGAUGAACUCACCUUCGUUGUCACAUUGCAUGGCCUUAAUCAUGACGUUGUAUUGGGUGCGUACAAAGGAGAAGAAACGUUGGAGAGUAGUAGACGUGUCUGAUUUGUUGCUAGAGGGAAAGACCAGGAGUAGUGAGUAUAGUCAUCCAACACAACAAGGUAAUAUUGAUAACCAGAAAAGCUUACAACCGGCGAGGUCCACAAAUCACAGUGUAUGAGAUCAAAUGGUGCAUACGACUUGCUAAAAGAAGAGGGAAAGGGAAGGCGAGGCUGCCGGCCGAGCUGACAAGCAGCACAAUGCUGAUGUGCCUCCUUAUUACAAUCGGGAAGAACAGUUUGAGCUAAUGUAGAUAGGGUAUGAGCGCCGGGGUGGCCGAGCCAGCGAUGCCACAAGUCAGGUGAUGCCGUGGCAAGGAGAGCGGACGCCGAAGAAGCUUUAUUUCCAACAAAGGGGUAGAGGUCGCCGUUGCUAAUGGAGAUCAUGAGGACCCGCCACGUUCGAAGAUCCUUCACAAGAAAGCCACAUGGGUAAAACUCAAUGGAACAAGAAUUUUCUUUAGUGAAUUUGCGAACGGAUAUGAGACUAGUGACUACGUGUGGAGAAACAAGAACGAUGGUGAGGCGGAAGUCGUGAGGGGGUAGGGCGACGGAGCCGGUGGCCGUGACGGGUAUGUGUUGGCCAUUGCCGACAAGAAUGCUUGAUGGGACAUGCUUUAAGGAAGAAUUAGACGAGGUAAGGGUACCUGGGUUGCCGGUGAUGUGGGAGGAAGCGCCGCUGUCGAGGUACCAGUCCGUCAAGGGAGAUUGGGGCAGGCCGCUGUUGCUGUAGGUGGUGUUCAACAUGGCGAGGUGCUCCCACGAUGGUGGCGUGGGAGGGUAGUACGAGGAGGACGGUGGAGGCGCCGCAUGGUACAUUGGGUAGGCGUGGGUAUGGGAGCCAGGCCGGGGGCCGAGAACCCCGGCGGAGUUGGGCGGCACCCAUCCAGGUCGAGGCAGAGGGAGCGCCAUCCCGUACGGGGCGAAGUAGCCCGUGAACGGAGCGGGCUACGACGGCAGGCCGCGUCCACUAGAGUCGUGACGGCCUUGUCUGCGUCCACGACCACGCCCGCGGCCACGGUCGGCACCGUCGCCACGGUCACCACGGCCACGGGUCUGUUGCGGAGGCGGAGGCGGGGCCUGAGAGCAAUCAGAGCCGCGGUCACCAGAGCGGUCGCCGCGAUCACCCUGAGGGCGCGCGCCAGAUCCGGAAGCGUCGCCCGAUCGAGAAGCGCCAGGGAGAGCGAACACCGAAGCGCUCUCCUCAGCGGCACGCUGGGCCUGGGACUCCUCCGCCAGGAUGACGCGGGAGAGGACGGUGUCGAAGGGCAUGGUAGAGGCCUAAUCGCCGAGGACGACGCGGAUGGUGUCGAGCCGCUUGUCGGGGCCGUGGAGGAAUUGGGUGGUGAGAUCCACCUCUGACGGCGUGAUCGAUGUCGGCGAGACCGUCAGUGAGCAGCUUCAGGCAACGAGCGUACUCGGUGAUGGAGAGAUCGCCCUGCUUCAGAUUGCGGUACUGGCGGUUGAGCACCAUGAAUCGCGCAGCCCGAUUGGCGAGGAAGAAAUCCUGGAUCUUGGUCCAGAGGGCGUACGUGGUGGUGGCGCCGACGACGUGAUCGAUGAGGGGAUCGGCGAGGCUGGCAUAGAUCCAGAGCACCACAUGGGCAUCCACCUCCAGGUAUUGGGCGUCGGCGUUGGGUGGAGGGGGGUGCUCGAUGAGGAAGGUGACGCUGUAGCGGACAAGCACGAGCAGGAAGAAGGACUUCCACUUAUGAUAGUUGUGGUCGGCCGGGUUGAGCAAGAACUUGAUGUGGUUUGUGAUGUGAUCGAAGAAGAUCGGGUUGCGUGGAGCUGGUGGUGGCGGCGCAUGAGUGGAGGAGGAGAAGAGGGGGGCGAACUGAGAGGGGCCUGUGCUACCGGAUGCGCCGGAGAAGAGGAACGGGGAGGUGCCGGGCGAGGUGGCAGGGGCAGUCACCGUGGAGGAGAGCGAGCUCGGCGAGGUCGUGGCGUCGGUGCCGGCAGAAGAGGAGCCGGGCGCAACCAUGGCGACGGAAGAGGAGGAGCUGGUAACUGAUACCAAGUUGGAGAAUCAAUUCACUCUCUCUAUUGAUCAUUGUGUGUUACAUACAUGGCAUUUAUACACAGGGCAUUGCCCGAGUCAUGAGGCACGCAGGCCCUCGAUCCUAUAUACGUGGGCAUGCACAACAGCCCAUUACAACACAACUCAACAUCUGUAACUACAGGGGUUUCAUUCUAAUUCAUAUUUGUGAUGAGGAAGCAGAUUUGCUCUUAUGCAUCUGGUCUGCCAAAUGUGAAGAUUUUUCUGGUUGACAUGCUUUAUCUGCUACUCACUCUGUUCGGAAAUACUUGUCACAUAAAUGGAUAAAAAUGAAUGUAUCUAGAACUAAAAUACGUCUAGAUACAUCCAUUUCGAUGACAAGUAUUUCGGGACGGAUGGAGUACCAAUUUGAGCAUAUAGACAAUCAGGACAUCACUGACAUCCUAGCCGAAGAAUCUGGCUCAUGCGAAGGUGUAAUCUUAAAGAAUUCUACUUCAUAUUAUAAUAGACUGAGUGUCUUACUGAAUUCCUUGAUGCGAAUUUGUAAUUUUGGUGUCUCAGAAUGGUGCUCCUUUUGAUGGACUGAACGAUUUUACUGAAUUUAUUCUGAUGUGUGUGCAGAGGGAGGCUUGUACACAAAGAAGUACUACAACCUGGCCAAGGACCUGUGUUGGACGCAUCAAAUCUCGGACUGAUCAAACCCAACACCCUCGUUCGGUUCCGAGGAUGGUUCAGGACAUGCUCGGGGACGAGUUCUAUGUCGGCGCUUUCAAGGUACUGAAAUGAUUCAAUCGAUAGGUUGUGAUCAAGCUAUACUUCUUAUGCUCAUUUGUAAAAAACAUUGUUUGUGAAGGAUGGGUCUACCUGGAGGACGAAAAAGUUCAGACUUUUGACCAUUCUCGAUGACGUACCCAUGUGAUUCGCAUCUCUGGGAGCUCCAUCUCUUCCAUUGCUUGAUAAGGUUGUUUUACUCUCUCCAUCAUGUUUCCUCGUUCACCAUUUUCUCUGGAUGUAGACGCAAGCACAGCGGCAUAGCCAUCACGCUCAAUGUCGUUUUGGUUUAAAUCUUUGCACCCAUCACCAUAUAGAGUAAAGUUAAAAGAGAAAUUAUUUUCCUUAGGUAUCGACCAGGCAUCAUAAAUUUGUGAUGUAGAUUAAGGGAAAAUGGGGGUCAUGCCGCCUGAACUACAACAAUGAGAUGAGGGAAAUCACCUAUGAGAUUGCUCGGAGCAGGGAACGAUGAAACAUUGGUACAAAUGUUGUCACCGAUGAAUAUUGUGUAACUGGAGUUAGUAGGCACGGUUGCUUCUCGUAUGAACAAUCCACUUGGUGGAUGUGUGCCGUCUAUCAUGACUAGCGAAUGCAUAUAAAACCACUGAAAUCAGCACUAAGCUAUUAAUUACAGAUUCUUCCAUUUAAUUAUUUCUAGUGGGAUUUACCUGGACCCGAAUGGGGGAUUUGAUCAUAAUUUGUGAUAUCACCAAGUGGUCGUCGGCAUACAGUAGUCGCAUCCAUCGAUUUUUCUUCUUCUGUUGUCGGUGUUCUGUAGCAAUAUCUUCCCUUUCCAUGCGAGAUCCACUCGGGACUAAGCUGUGUUCGGCGACUGCUGUUACAUGCAACUGUCAAAAAACAACCACAAAGAUAGCAGAAUAUAUAUGUCCCUAAGGCUGCAACCUAUAAAGCAAUGAAGUUAAAUGGUAUCCUACCUGGCAUAGGCGAUGCAGUCAUUCAGGAAUUAUCCACAUUAUCAGUAUUAGAUACAUCACAUAGAGGGAUCGGCGCGAAUUUCUCGCCUCCAUAUGUCCAAGUGUUAAAAUUUGAACUGCUUGUUCCAGAAAACAACAACUUGGGGUCACAGUUUGAUCAAAUAAUAUGCCCAAAUUGUUACAAGUGUCGUAUGUUAAAAAACUGGGAGCCACAGUUUGAUCAAAUAAUAUGCUCACAGAAGUGUACUUUUGACCACACUGAACAUACAAAUUUGUUAAACUUAAUAUUUGAAGGUACUAAAACAAUGCUAAACUUCUGAUGAAGAUCAAGAAGCAGGUCAGUGAGCAUACUUUAAGCAAGCCUAACUCACUGGUUUGGUUUGUAUUUUCUGCUUGUACGUAACUUCUGAUGAAGAUCAACCUCCUUUACUUUCAUAUUAGGAUUUUUUUUAUUUUUUUAUUUAAGUUACCAGCCUCGAUGGUACGUAGGUUACCAGCCCUGGGAUACGUAACUUACCAUGCUUUUUACAUAUAUAAGUUACCGCGGUAAUGUUUGAACAAUUUUUUAUUAGGUGAGAGUUACCACGGUGUUGUACAUAAAAAUAUCAGGUCUGCGGUCCGUAAAAUACCAUGUUAUUUUCACAUAACUUAUUGGGGCUUGUUUCAACAACUUUUCUCUCGGAACAACGUUGCCAUGUUGUUUGUACAUAAGUUAUCAGGUAUGCGAUGCGUAAAAUAUCAUUGUUAUUUACAUAGAAUUUAUCAGGUAUGUAGAGUGUCAUUAACGGGUUUGUUUUCAAUAACUUUUUUCACUGGAUCAAAAAGUUACCACUGUGCUUGUGCGUAUAUUACCAUGUUGUUUGCAUAGAAUUUACCGGGGUACGUUUUCAACAACUUUUAUUAUGUGGUCAAAAAAAUUAUCAUGAUGUUUGUAUGUAAGUUAUCAGCUCUGUUAUGCGUAUAUUACCAUGAUAUUUGCACAUAAGUUAUCGAGGGACUUUUGCCCCUCCAGCACCAUACUAUGGAGGCGGAGACAUAUCUAUCACUUCAUCCGACAAUCACCACUAUGCAUCAUUUUCUUUAUCAAAUGAAUGUGUUGGUGAGUGGAAUAAAUAGUUGCUAUAUACACAUGAGUAAGCGAGGGUAAUGCUUUAAAAAAAUCCUGGAUCAAAAAAGGUACCACGCUUGGGUGAAGUAAGUUAUCAACUACAUGAUGGUGUAUAUUACUAUGUUUUUUACACAUGAGUUACCUGGGGGUGUUUUCAAUAACUUUUUACCCGAGCGAAAAAUUAUCACAUCUAGGUUGAGUAAGUUAUCAUGUAUGUGGUGCGUAUAUUACCAUAUUGUUUACACAGAAGUUACCGUGAUGUACUUUCAACAAACUUUUAUCCGGGGUCAACAAUUACCGUGGUGUCUAUAGUGAGUUAUCAGCUUCGUUUGUGUGUGUGUGUGUGUGUGUUUCCUGGUAUAUUUUCAACAACAUUUCUUCCCUUGGGUCAGAAAAUUAUAGCGGUGUUUGCAUAUACCAGCUCUCGUGCAUGUAUAUUAUCAUUCUACUUACACAAAAGUUACUGAAUGUAUGUUCUUCAAGAACUUUUUUUACUGGCUCAAAAAGUUAUCGUGGAGUUUGUAUGUGAAUUAUCAUCUCUGGUGUGUGUGUGUUACCAUACUAAGGGAUGAAGGUCUGGGCUUUAACAUGUUUGUACAAUUCAAAAGGACCGAAUUAAAACUAUGGGAUGCAAGUAAAAUUUUAGUUGGGAUCAUACGCAUCCAAUUGCUAGCUGAGUUGGUUAGUCUUGCAUGUACUUAAUGGUGAGGGCAAGAGAUUGAUUCCUACAAGGUUCAUGGUUUUUUUGACUUAAAUGAAGAAACAAGCUUUAAAUGGCAUUAAUCACAUCAAUUAAGAUACGAGAUAAAUAAAUCAUGAUAAUUAAGAGCCACGAGAAUAAAUCGGGUUGCGAGACCGCACGAUAAAAAAUCGAUGGUAUCCGAAUCGUUCGCGCCUAUUAGGCUGGUCAUAGUGGAGAGUAACUUACACUAGUAACAUACAUAUGUUACUAGUCUAUGUUACUACCUUCAUAGUGGGUAGUGUCAUAGGUGUGGUAACAUAGUUGCCUUCAUUUAUUACUUUAUAGACUCAUUAUGCAUUGGAAACCGCUAUGUGAUGGUAACAUAUUAUGUUACUCUAUUUACCUCUCUCCUCAUUAACUACUUGCCACAUCACCAAUUUUGCUUAUGUGGCAUCUAUGUUACUACCUAUGUUACUCCCACUAUGACCAGCCUUACUAAACUACAGUUCGACUGGAGAAUAGCGAAUCAGGUCAUUCAUGCCUCUCGCGGCAGGCCAAGAAACCAAGAACGCCCAUUUUUACUGCAUGGUUUUUUGACUUAAAUGAAGAAACAAGCUUUAAAUGGCAGUACUCCUAAUAAUUUGUAGCCCAUUAAUCACACCAAUUAAGAUACGAGAGAAAUAAAUCAUGAUAAUUAAGAGCCACGAGAAUAAAUCGGGUUAAUUAAUAGAUCUGACAAUUAAAAUCGCGCUAAUUAAGGAGACGUAGAAACUGGAAUUGUGAGAGCCUCACGCGAGACCGCACGAUCAAAAAUCAACGACAUCCGAAUUGUUCGCGCCUAUUACUAAACUACAGUCGACUGGAAAAUAGCUUUUCAGUUUUAAAUUUAUUUAGUUUGUGGACUAUAUGAUUUCAUUUGUUUAAUAAUGUGCAAUUUGAUUCGUUUGUUAUUUUAUUGUGAAUGAUAAUUUUGAAGACAAAAUAAAAAAGUCCACGUCAGUUUGAAUCAGCGUGUUGGAGUUUUUUUUUUUUGCAGUUCAAAGAGCUAUAUUGAUCAAGAUAGAGAGUUACAGUCCUUGUACAGACAAGCCUCUAGAAAGCUAGGAAUAAAAUUUAUCGAGACACAACGCUUUCUAUGAGGAUUAGCUUGCCUUGCACAUAGAUGUGCAAGGUCAUUAGCCUUUCUAGGAACAUAAGACAAAACAAAGAACUGAAAACUCUCUGAAAGCUCUUUAAUUUCCUGAAGCACAACAACAAUUUCUGAACGCCUAAAAUUAUUGGUAUUCCAGAGCUUCGUAAUAGCCAAAGCAUCAGUUUCAACAAUGAUGUUCCGGAGACCCAUAUUACGUGCAAGUCGGACUCCAUCUCUAAUAGCCAACGCCUCCAUAACAAAAGAAUUGGCUGCAUAUUCAUACCAUAGUGCCUGGGCACGAAUGAGUUUACCUUCAUGAUCGCGCACACCUACCCCUGUCAGCUUAGUGCAAUUAAUUUCCGGGGGUCGCCAUUUAUCGUCAGCCUUAGUAGGCAUUUUCUUUCCUUCUUUUGAUGAAAUUAUCAAAUCCAUAGUCACAUCAGCAGUCCAUUUCACCGAGCAUUGGAUCGACCGCCCUUUAUCUCCGUGCUUCUUUGCAUUACGCUCUGACCAUACAGACCAACAUCCACAUAAGAUGACAGCGGCAUCUGUAUCACUGGCCAUACCUCUAUCAAUCAUAUCCAUCGCCCAUGAGUCCGGAUGCAAACGAGGAAGUUUGACACCCAACAUGUUCCUUAUUUGAUGCCAAAACAGCUUAGCCCAUGUACAAUCGAACAAAGAAUGAGUGAUUGUUUCUUCACAUCCACAAUCCUCGCAGAAACUGAUUUGUUCAAUAUGUCUUUCCUUCAGAAUAGAUCGGCAUGGGAUAAACUUCCUAAUCACACGCCACCAAAAAUUACGGACCUUUGGGGGAACAGGCAUCUUCCAAAGCUUCUUCCAAAAUGUUCUAUCAUCACCUGCCGAGCUAGCUGGAUUAUUUGUUUGCUGCCGAGCACCAAGCAUUGCCCUGUAAGCUGACCGGACACUGAAAUUUCCACUUCUCUCUAAAUGUCAUGCCCAGUUAUCUUCUUCCAUCCUUCCCAAUGGAAUCAUUUGCACAGCAGCCGCAUCAAUAGGAAGGAAAUUAUUCUGUAAAACCUCUCUAUCCCAGUCUUCAUUGUACGGGUCGAUCAAGUCCUCGACCAUAUUCACGGUCGAGUUUUGAAGACGUAAAAGGGGUUUAAAGCCCAAGUUUGAAGGGAUCCAGGGAUCCUCCCAAACUCUAGUAUUGCUACCAUCACCAAUACGUUUGAUCAGACCAUGAGUCAGAGCUUCCCGUCCAUACAUAAUUGCCCUCCAUGUAUGCGAGGCAUUCUUUUUCCUUGUCACCGUCAUAAAAUCAGCAUCAUGAAAAUACUUGCCUUUGAUCACCCUGGCACAGAGUGAAUCCGGUUGUGUGAGAAGUCGCCAACCCUGUUUAGCAAGCAUUGCUUGAUUGAACAACUCAAGGUCUUUAAAGCCCAUACCACCCACACAUUUGGGAGCAACAAUAUCCUUCCAUUUCUUCCAAUGCAUUUUGCUCGUAUUUUCAUUUCCUCCCCACAAAAACCUGGCAAUGGCAGUUGUGAUCUUUUUGCACAUAUUUUUGGACAGACGGAAACAACUCAUAGAAUAGGUUGGAGUGGCUUGAAGGACUGCCUUGAUUAAAACUUCCCUCCCAGCGCUAUUUAGGAGCUUUGGAGACCAGCCCCUAAUCAACUUCUUAAUAAUUGUAAGUAUGUGCUCAAAUUGCUCAUCUGUACAUCUUCCAAGGGCAGUUGGCAGACCCAAGUACUUUUCUCCUAACGCUUCGGUUUCAAUUCCUGAGGCCUGAUGGAAUGCAUGCUUCACGUCAGCUGAGCAAUUUUGUCACGCCCAAUAUGCGACCCUAUCCAAAAGGAACUCGAAGGUCCCACCAAGGAUAGACCCGCAUAUUGAAACGCUUUUGCAAGGUGGAUAUCAUUACAUCAAUAUUACAUAAUAGAAGGGGAUACAUACAAAAGGCAUACAAUGCCACACGAAUGCAACAUCACAAUACAUCAGAGCAUCAUCCGACUAUGGAUGAAACACAAACAGAAACUCAAACGACAUCCACCCUGCUAGCCCAGGCUGCCAACCUGGAACCUAUCCCCUGAUCGAAGAAGCAGAAGAAGAACUCAACGCAAGCAAGCAUCGCUCUCGCGUCAUGAUCAUCGCAAAACAUGUACCUACAACUGUUGUUGUAGUAAUCUGUGAGCCACGAGGACUCAGCAAUCCUAUUUCCAUGGGUAUCAAGACUAGCAAAGCUUAAAGGGAAAGGAAGGGGUAAAGUGGUGAGGUUGCAGCAGCGACUAAGCAUAUAUGGUGGCUAACAUAUGCGAAUAAGAGCGAGAAGAGAGCAAGCGGAACGGUCGUGAAGCUAGCAAUGAUCAAGAAGUGAUCCUGAACUCCUACUUACGUCAAACAUAACACAGAAACCGUGUUCACUUCCCGGACUCCGCCGAAAAGAGACCAUCACGGCUACACACGCGGUUAAUGCGUUUUAGUUCGGAUCUGGUGUCAAGUUAUCUACAACCGGACAUUAACAAAUUCCCAUCUGCCUAUAACCGCAGGCACGGCUUUCGAAAGAUUAUACCCUGCAGGGGUGUCCCAACUUAGCCCAUGACAAGCUCUCGCGAUCAACGACGGAAUAGACCUUCUCCCAGGAAGACCCGAUCAGACUCGGAAUCCCGGUUUACAAGACAUCUCGACAAUGGUAAAACAAGACCAGCAAAGCCGCCCGAUGCGCCGACAAAUCCCGAUAGGAGCUGCACAUAUCCCGUUCUCAGAGCAACACCGGAUGAGACUAGCUACGAGUAAAACCAACCCUCAAGUUGCCCCGAGGUGGCCCCACAGGCAGCUCAGUUCGGACCAACACUUAGACAAGCACUGGCCCGGGGGGGCUAAAAUAAAGAUGACCCUUGGGUUGGCCGACCCAAGGGAAAGGGUAGGUGGUGGUGAGGCAAAUGGUAAAACCAAGGUUGGGCCUUGCUGGAGGAGUUUUAUUCAAAGCGAACUGUCAAGGGGGUCCCAUAAAUCACCCGACCGCGUAAGGAACGCAAACUCCGGGAACAUAACACCGGUAUGACGGAAACUAGGGCGGCAAGAGUGGAACAAAACACUAGGCAAAAGGCCGAGUCUUCCACCCUUUACCAAGUAUAUAGAUGCAUUAAUAAUAUAAGAGAUAUUGUGAUAUCCCAACCAAAAUCCUGUCCACCAUGGAGAAAUCUUCAACUUCACCUGCAACUAGCAACGCUAUAAGAGGGGCUGAGCAAAGCGGUAACAUAGCCAAACAACGGUUUGCAUAGGAAAGGUGUCAAAGGUUAGAGGUUCAUGGCAAUAUGGGAUGGCUUGAUAAACAGGUGAUAGGUAGCGCAGCAUAGCGAUAGAACGAAACAACUAGCAUAGCAAUGAUAGUAGUGAGAUCCAGGGUAACGGUCAUCUUGCCUGAAAUCCCGCAAGGAAGAAGAACGGGUCCAUGAAGAAGACGAACGGAAGUAGUCGAACGAAUCCUCACAAUCGCAACAUUACCGGAACUAAGAAGCAACACCGGAAAGAAACAAACAACAUGGUAAACACACAAGCAUAAUCAUGGCAUGAUGCACAAUCAAGUAUGAUGCAUGUCUGGUUUAAUGAGGCAUGGCAUGGCAAAGUGCACAAACAAUACUACAAAUUAAGUGGAGCUCAAUAUGCAACGAGUUGCAUAUUGAAGAAACACCACAUGCAAGUAUUUAGUUCUCUCUCGUUUAGGUACACAAUAAUAUUAAAUGUUGUUAAACAUGGCAAGAGGUAAAGCAUAAUGAAACUACCUAUCUAGGCAAAUUUAAAUGAGGCCGGAAUAACAAACAACAAGUCCGGAAAAUCCCCAUAUGCAUAUUUUAGAUUCGGUACUGUUCUGCCCUAAACACAAUUUUAAUGUUGUUAAACAGCAAAACAAAGUGCACCAUGUUAAACUAGGCAUUUUUCCACCCCAUUUACAUAUAAAGUUUAAUUAAAACCGAGCUACGGUUAUUUAGUUAUGAAAUAAAUCAUUUUAACAUGGCAUAUUCGCAAAUUAACACAAACAACAUUUUAAACAUUUUAAAAAUAGAUGAAAGUGACAUAUUAUUAAUCUACACAAUUUUCUGAGCAUUUUACAUAUAUAAAUUAUUUACAUGUGAUGCACGGUUUGUGAGUUAUUAAAUGUAUGAUGUAUGAGGGGUUUUCUGCAAAUUUGUUAAACACUGGAAUAAUGCUAAAUUCGCAGAAUCUGAAAAAAAACAUGAACGGGCCGAAACUGACUAGCCCAAUAGAGGAAAGGCCAGGGGGCUGCUCACCCUGGGCCUUGGGCCUGGUCGAUGCAGAGGCAGGCCGACUGGGGGGGCUGCUGGAUCUGAUGCGGCUGGGCCUGAGGCGCUGCUGGGCCGGGGUGGGACGCGGGCCCACGAACGGGCGCGGUCAACGGCGACGCUGGGGAGCGAGCGGCUCCUCCCGACCCGCAGGCGGCGGCAACGAUGGGAGGCGGGGCGACGCCGGCAAGGGCGAAGUCCGGCGAGGCCAGGGACAGGCGGGGAGGCUUGGAACGGGCGGAUCGGGCCUCCGGGCACCGGAUCCGGCCGGUGGCGAGGCGGGGCGACGCCGGCAGCAAGCGGUGGCGGCGGUGGUUUCCUGCAGAGAGGAGAGAAAGGGAGAUCAGGUGAGGGAGAGACAUGGGAAGGAGAGGGCGAUGGGGAGGCGGCGACCUGGCGAGGUCAGCAGCGGAGCUCCGGCAGGGGCGCGGCCUUGGCGGCACCGGAGAGGCGGCGAGGGCGGCUGUCGGCAGCGGGGUUGGAGCGGUGCUCGAGCAGGGAGGCGAGGCGAAGCGCGGGGUCCGACCCGGGCCCAGAUGGGCUUGCGCGGGCCGUGCGCGGGCUCGGGCGGAUGGGGGCGCUGGAGGGAGGCAGGGGCGACGUGGCGGCCCCCGGUUGGCUCGGGGCGCGUCGGCGGUGGCGCCAAGUGGCGGAGCUGGAGCGGGUGGCGCGGAAAUGGAGGUGGGAGGCGGCGGAGAUCCCGAGGAGGAGGGGGAUUGCUGCGGCUGGGUUAGGGAAGGGGGUAGGUGUAACGCCCCGAGACCGAUGCUUCAGAAGACUUCCAGCUAUUCCGAGUUUCGUCGUGUGUUUUAUUUUUGUUUGUUGCAUUUCUUCAUGUCAUCUCUUGCAUUGCAUCAUGCCAUCAUGCCAUCAUGCCAUUUAAUUUUUAAACCUCAACUAAAUAAAUUGCAUAGAUCUUUUGAUCUAUUUAAAUCGAGGGAUAUUCACAUGGUGAUUUCUCUUUAAAACAUAUUCAAAGUCUCCUACUAUUAUUAGGGAGCUAUAUUAAAUAUUUCUUUAUUUCGAAAAUCACCAAAACACACUUGCAAAAUAAUUUCGUUCCUUUUCUGCUUCAAGUUUGGUCUCCAACCUUGCCCAUAAAUUAUUUCGUCAUUUUCCGGAGCUCCACCAAAAAUCCGAACAUUUUUGGACCUUCCUUUUAUCAAGUCCUAGUUCAAACCCAUUUGAAUUAAAUUCAAAUGAGUUUGAAUUUAAAUCUUUCAAUCAUGACCUUCUAUUUUUCUUGGAACGAGCUCAUUUUUAUGAGUCGAGAAAAAUACCCUCCUGCUCAAGCUCCACCCCUAACCUCUUUUUCUUUUCUUUCUCAUCCCUGUUUUUUUUCUUUUCUUUUAGCAGUGAGAGAGAGCCCAGCCUAACCAGCAAACCAGGCCGGCCCAUUUGCCCUGGAGGUCCAGCCCACCUAACCCCACUGUUAACCCUAGCCCGACCCUCGAUCCCUCCUCCUCAUCCCCUCGCACCGCCACCUUCGUUCAGCGAUCCCCAUCGCUCGCCCGCUGCCAGCGCCAGAGGAGCAGAGCCCCGCUCCUCCCAAUCCCCUCACCCGAUCGCUCCCCUGCUCCCUUCCCGUGCGCCGCACUCCCCUCCGCUCGAUCCCCCACCUCCUCUGCCUCCCCUUGCUCCGAAGCCUGCCGUCCACCUUCCCCGUGGCUGAGAUGCUCUCCGCCGUCUGCCAUGGCCAGCACCUCUGCUUCCUCGCAACCCCAGCCAUCCCGGCCGUCCUCACACCUCCUUCGCCAAGUUCGCCGCUGCUGGCGCCCCAAGUUCCGCUGCCCGUUGCCCCCUUUGCAUCGGUGACCAACCAUGGUCUCUGUUUCGCCAUCUCCUCCGGCCCGCACCGCGCCAUGGCCCUCCCGAGGACAUCACCACGCAACACCUUGUUGGUCUCUUUGCCUUGUUGACGCCAAGUUCGACUACACUGCAAGACCCGGAAUGCCAAGACUGCCUUCGUGGAUUUAUUAAAAGUUCCAGGACGACCGGCGCAAAGUACCACUACGUUUGCCAUGUACAUCUACACCAAGACCGGACCGACAAGUACCCCGACAACGUGUGUACCUCUACCGACGACCCCGGACAUCUACGAAAACGUGUACAACUUCAGUCGCGAGAACGUCUACUUCCACUACGACACGAGUACAACUACUUCCACUACGACCCGUGUACGACUACUUCCCUCGACGACUCGAACCGCUCCGAAAACGCACGCUUCGAAGGUAUAACCCCCGAGAACGACCGCCGUGGACCGAAUGCAUGUGUUGAAUGAGAUGCACCAUUUGCACCGUGUCCGAAUUGUCACUCGUUUCCAUGCCGCCGUCCCGUGGGAACCCGGAAGCCGGGAUCACCCCACCAUCUUGCAUGACUCGCUCACGCUCACUUCCUUUUGCACCGGUAUCUCCGUGAGCUACCGGAACCGUUAUGUUGCCGUGGCAUCAUUUUCGGUUAUGUUGUCGUGGCACCAUUUUCGUUACCGUUGCCGUGGCACCCCUUUCGUUCCACCACGGUGCCAAAUGCUUCAUAACGUGCUCAUGUCAACGUUUUCAUUAAAAUUGCAUAAACUUGCAUUGUCAUCCGCAUCAUGAUAACAACAUUUAAAAUGUUUAAAACUGUGUUUGCAUUAAACUACUAAAUGACAUGGGGACUUUCCGGAAUUGUUGUUUCUUGUUUCCGGCCUCAUUUAAACCUGCCUAAAUAGUUAGUUCAAUUAUGUUUCACCUCUUGCCAUGUUUGACAACAUUUAAUAUUGUUGGUUAGCCUAACCGAGAGAGAACUAAAUAAUUGAUGUGGUGCUCCGUCAAUAUGCAACUCGUUGCAUAUUGAGCUUCAUUUAACUUGUAGUAUUGUUUGUUGCACUUUGCCAUGCCAUGCCUCUUUAAACCGGACAUGCAUCAUAUUUGGUUGUGCAUCAUGCCAUGAUUAUGUGAUGGUUGUUUACCAUGUUGUUUGCUUCUUUUCGGGUUGCUUCUCUCGUUAGCUUCGGGUUCGUUCUGGAGUUGUGAGGAUUCGUUCGACUACGUCCAUUUGUCUUCUUCAUGGACUCGUUCUUCUUCCUAUCGGGAUCUCAGGCAAGAUGACCUUUACCCUCGAUAUCACUUCUAUCUUUGCUUGCUAGUUGCUUCGUUCUAUCGCUAUGAUGCGCUGCCUACCCCUUGUUUACCAUGCCUCCCAUAUUGCCAUGUCAGCCUCUAACAUUUUCACCCUUCCUAGCAAACCAUUGUUUGGCUAUGUUACCGCUUUGCUCAGCCCCUCUUAUAGCAUUGUUAGUUGCAGGUGAAGUUGAAGAUUGCUCCAUGAUGGACAGGAUUAUGAUUGGGAUAUCACAAUAUCUCUUAUAUUAUUAAUGCAUCUAUAUACUUGGUAAAGGGUGGAAGACUCGGCCUUAUGCCUGGUGUUUUGUUCCACUCUUGCCGCCCUAGUUUCCGUCAUACCGGUGUUAUGUUCCCGGAUUUUGCGUUCCUUACGCGGUUGGGUGAUUUAUGGGACCCCCUUGAUAGUUCGCUUUGAAUAAAACUCCUCCAGCAAGGCCCAACCUUGGUUUUAACAUUUGCCUACCUAAGCCUUUUUCCCUUGGGUUCUGCAGACUCAAGGGUCAUCUUUAUUUUACCCCCCGGGCCAAUGCUUGUCGUGAGUGUUGGUCCAACCUGUCAACCGCCGGUGGCCACCAGGGGCAACUCUGGGCUGGCCUACCGGAAGUUUGGACAAUCCGGUGUGCCCUGAGAACGAGAUAUGUGCAGCUCCUAUCGGGAUUUGUCGGCACAGCGGGAGGCUUUGCUGGUCUUGUUUUACCAUUGUCGAAAUGUCUUGUAAACCGGGAUUCCGAGUCUGAUCGGGUCUUCGUGGGAGAAGGUCUAUUCCUUCGUUGAUCGCGAGAGCUUAUCAUGGGCUAAGUUGGGACACCCCCUGCGGGGUAUAAUCUUUCGAAAGCCGUUCCUGCGGUUAUAGGCAGAUGGGAAUUUGUUAAUGUCCGGUUGUAGAUAACUUGAUACCAGAUCUGAUUUAAAACGCAUCAACCGCGUGUGUAGCCGUGAUGGUCUCUUCUCGGCGGAGUCCGGGAAGUGAACACGGUUUUUGGGUUAUGUUUGACGUAAGUAGGAGUUCAGGAUCACUUCUUGAUCAUUGCUAGUUCACGACCGUUCCUUUUGCUCUCUUCUCGCUCUUAUUUGCGUAUGUUAGCCACCAUAUUUGCUUAGUGCUUGUUGCAACUCCACCUCAUUACCACUUCCUACCCAUAAGCUUAAAUAGUCUUGAUCUCGCGGGUUUUGAGAUUGUUGAGUCCUCGUGACUCACCAGAUACUAUCACAACAGUUGCAGGUGCCGAUGAUACCAGUGUAGGUGAUGCAACCGAGCUCAGAUGGGAGCUCAACGAAGACCGUGGUCAUUGCUAUGUUUCGUUUCAUGUUGAUCAGUAGUGGAGCCCAGUUGGGACGAUCGGGGAUCUAGCAGUUGGGUUAUCUUCUUUUCUUUUGGCUUCAUCCGUAGUCGGACUAUGUGUGUACUCUGUAUGAUGUAUGAUUUAGUAUAUGUUCAUUGUGUGAAGUGGCGAUUGUAAGCCAACUCUUUAUCCCAUUCUUGUUCAUUACAUGGGAUUGUGUGAAGAUGACCCUUCUUGCGACAAAACCACAAUGCGGUUAUGCCUCUAAGUCGUUCUUCGACACGUGGGAGAUAUAGCCGCAUCGUGGGUGUUACAGUAGGCUGCCAAAUUUGGAAGGGGGUGUCCAUAUAUAGCAAAUUUGCUAGGGUUUGGGGGUUAGGAGGGGUUUUGGGACCCUCGGAUCGCGAUCGUGCGGCUCCGGACAGAGGGGAAGCUAUGAGGGGUAUGUUGGACCUAGGUGGGCUGUGUAGAAUGCCUUGGGCUGAGAAGAGAGGGAUGAAGUGCAGCCCGGGAAGGGUUUUCGGAGACCGAAAACAUCCGACGAAGGCACCGGCAACGGUACUGCUAUGGAAGACGGUUGGGCUAUCAAACGGACUCCGAAUGCGACGAAACUUGACAGGCGGCCUUCUACACUAUAAUAAGACCGCACGACAAGUUGCAACCCAUUCCGAGAACAUUUUUAUGCCACUUAUAAAAUAAUAUUUUGGAGGUGCCGCGGGCGCGUGCGAGUGUGUCUGGACUCCGAACGGACAACGGAGAGGACCGGGGAAACCCGAACGGAUGCAAGUUUUGAAAAACAUGCGGAUGAAAUGCAGAUGAUGACAUGAGACGAGAUGCAUAACAAGAAAAAAAUGCAAAACAACAGACAGAACCCAACCACGGAGGAAAUAUCAUAUAGCAUCUCCGGAAAAGGCAAGAGUUGGAGUUAUGAAUAUGGAAAGUUGUAUCCGGGGCGUUACAAAUUUGCACUAAAAAGACCGCUGAUUUCUGCCUAUUGACAAGUUGUCCGGACCCGAUUCUAUAGUUUUCCAAGAUGUGUUGUAACCGGGUUGCACCAUCAGUCGAGGCUUGUGUAAAAACAACACAAUCAUCCGCAAACAAUAAGUGUGAGAUCCAUGGGGCAUGGAUCCCAACCCGGACUCCCCUGCCGAGGUGUGCUGCCCCAUAGUUCUUGAGCAUACUAGAAGGCGAAAUUGGGUCCCCUUGUCUAAUACCUUUGGAUGGUUUAAAAAAUUCCGAGAGCACCCCAUUUACUCUGACUGAAAAGGACACCGUUUCCGCACAGCACAUUACUCGAUUAACCCAAAUAUCCGUGAAACCAAGCUUGGCCAUGACCGCCCUCAAGUACGACCAUUCAACUCGAUCAUAUGCUUUAGCCAUGUCAAGUUUAACUGCACAAGCUCCUGCUUUACCUUUCUUCCUUUUCAGAUAAUGUGUACACUUGUAGGCAGUAAGGACAUUGUCUAUUAUGAGCCAUCCUGCAACAAAAGCACUUUGCUCUUCUGAAAUAAUUACCUCAAGCUCAGGGCGCGAACGAAGUGCCAACACCUUCGAGGCUAUCUUGUACAAGACAUUGCAUAAUGAUAUGGGUCUAAAUUGGCUUAUAUCUUGUGGGGAUUUUACCUUAGGAAUCAAAACAAGAAUGGUGUUAUUUAUCACAUCUGGCAUGUUUUCUCCUUCCAAGAAAUUCCGAACUGCACGACAAACAUCAUCCUUCAAUAAGUGCCAAUGUUUAAUAUAGAAGCCUGCCGUCAGUCCAUCUGGCCCAGGCGAUUUGUCUGGAUGCAUCAUAAACAGUGCCCGUUCAAUUUCUUCAUUUGUAAUCCUAGCACACAGCCUCUCAUUCAUUGCUUCAUCAACCCGACGAGGCACCCAUUCCGUGACCACACUUGGAACAGUACUAUCCUGCACAGAAAAAAGAGAUUUAUAGAAGUUAGUUGCCUCUGAUUCCUGGUCAGUCUGGGUUGUCGCCACCGAUCUGAUCGCCUUACUGCAAUCAGUAGAGCACAAUGAUCCGACUCCGUACAUUGGAUAUGAUUCACUGUUGUAUUAUGAAAGCAUUCUAGAAAUUUGUCAUCACCGAGGCCUCUGUCAAGCCUAACUUUAAUGUUCCUUGUACCUUGUUGUCUAUUGUCCCAGGUGUACGGCAAUCCGUAGUAACCCAUAUCAUCAAAUAUGCAGUAGUCCACCAUUUCACUGAACCCCUCCAUCUUCCACUCCUCUCUAGCAUUGCCACCAAAUUGUUUAGAUGCAUAUAACACCUCAUUAAAAUCACCUGCACAAAGCCAUGGAUUGUUGUAUUCCCGUCUCAUAAACUUCAAAAGAUCCCAGCUUCUCUUCCUCUUAGAUCUCUUUGAUUCAGCAUAAAAACCAGUAAACCUCCAUUGUACCUCACCCAAACUCUCGCUCUGAAUGAAGACAUCAAUGUGUGAAGUACUGAAAGAUUUCAAUGACACCAUCGAAUCAUUAUUCCAGUAGAGGACCAGACCACCACUCAUACCUUCACUUUUAACAGCAAACGCGUUGUUGAAACCAAAUUUCCAUCUUAGUUCCUGAGCUCUCUUAUCUGAACACUUGGUCUCCGAGAGAAAAACCAGUGUUGGACGGUGUGACCUGAUGAGGUCACAAAUUUCAUUAACUGUCUCGGGUCGCCCACACCCGCGGCAAUUAAGCACUAGCAGAUUCAUUGGACCUGGUGAGAUCCGAGUUGGGAUCCCGCCUUACCAUUUAAAAUUGUAAUCCGAACAUAUGGCCCCUUUGCAACGGCCAAGACAAAAAUAGCCAUCUUUUCAUACUGGAAAUCAAACCAAAUGCAGAAAAGAUUGUGUGGCAAAAAUUGUAGAUAGAUUUCUCUCGGCAGCAGUAUGUACCCAAAGAUGUCAUCUCUUACGCUCAGUUGUUUACCCCACAACAUGCCAUCUUGUUGACCAUCAUCCUCAACCACUUCUCCCAGCCAAACACCCACAGGAAUACCAUAUUCCUCUUUCCUCAUCUGCGGUGGCAUCGAAGGUAUCAUUGAUGUAGAUAACAAUUUACCAGGGUCGUAAUUAAAAGUAAGAAAAACAUGCCACUCGCAAUCCCCUGCUUUUCUUCCUUUUUGCUCACUUCCACUGACCAUAAGCAUCAAAGUAUUAUCCUGAGAAACGCAUAGAUCUUGAACCUCAUCUGUCAUAGAUCCAUCAUUCCUGUUAUGUACAACAGGGGACUGCUUCACCAGUUCAAUUGUAGAUUCUGAACUCCCAACCAAGGUCCUAAUUGAUUUCAAACCUUGCAAUUGCGGAAGCAUCUCCUUCAUACCCAGUUGCUUGUGCGCGACCCGGAUUGCUACCUGAAUCGUCGACUCGACCCAUGCGGCCCCCUUCAUCUUCUCCGCAUCCACUGGAAUCGCCUUGCCUGCUGCUGGCAUAACAUGCAUCUUGUCACCCGUCGGUCUCAAUCCAACCCUCUUGAGCCUGUGAUCUCUCCCAAUCUUUCAAGGUCAUGCCCCAGCCAAUCGCUAGCUCUCGCACGCAUCUGAUUCAAACAUCCCAUCGAAUUUUUGGAUCGCUGGAGAAUAUCCACCGCCCUCCGUUUAAAAAGUCUGCACUCGUCGCCGGUAAUGACGCCGCCCUGAAACCGCACCUCCUCAGGAACCACAAAACCUUCCAUGGCCAGCAUCACCAGCGGAGCUUCACUUUCCCUUCGCCGCCGUCGUCUUGGUACCAAAUUAUUGCGUUGCGAGACUCACGUGGCACGGGUCUUCGAGGUCCCGCACUCUCGUGUUCAGAAUCCGAUGCUCCAAAGCCACCGUUGCCAUGGAGUAAUGCUACAUCGGGAUCUAAUCGNNNNNNNNNNNNNNNNNNNNNNNNNNNNNNNNNNNNNNNNNNNNNNNNNNNNNNNNNNNNNNNNNNNNNNNNNNNNNNNNNNNNNNNNNNNNNNNNNNNNNNNNNNNNNNNNNNNNNNNNNNNNNNNNNNNNNNNNNNNNNNNNNNNNNNNNNNNNNNNNNNNNNNNNNNNNNNNNNNNNNNNNNNNNNNNNNNNNNNNNNNNNNNNNNNNNNNNNNNNNNNNNNNNNNNNNNNNNNNNNNNNNNNNNNNNNNNNNNNNNNNNNNNNNNNNNNNNNNNNNNNNNNNNNNNNNNNNNNNNNNNNNNNNNNNNNNNNNNNNNNNNNNNNNNNNNNNNNNNNNNNNNNNNNNNNNNNNNNNNNNNNNNNNNNNNNNNNNNNNNNNCAGAAAUUCAAUAUUAUGCCUAAUGAAAAUAAAGAUAACGAAGAAAUCUGGACUCACAUAGCCGUUGCGGGAUGCCGUCUCCACCAACGGCUCUAUUCCCCCCACCGCCCGCUCCACGUUGACCGUUUCGACCAUUGAAACCCUCUUUCCCUCUCACCCUUCUUCCCAUACCCCCAAAUCCCCCAUCUCCCCCCAAACCGCCGCGCACAUCCAUCCAUCCAUCCGCUUCGUCCCCGGCGACGGCCCAAACCCUAGAGACCGACAGCCGCCGCGCGAGCAGCGAGAGGGAGAGGAGGAGACCGCCGGGCGCCAUGAACGACCUCAUGACCAAGUCCUUCAUGAGCUACGUCGACCUGAAGAAGGCGGCCAUGAAGGACCUCGAGGCGGGCGGCGACGAGACCGAGCUCACCCAGGCCGGCGGCGGCGGCGCCACCGACGAGCGCCUCAAGGGCUUCUUCAAGGAGGCGGAGGCGGUCCGCGAGGAGAUGGCGGCCAUCCGCGACGCGCUCGCCCGCCUCCACGCCGCCAACGAGGAGGGCAAGUCGCUGCACCAGCCCGACGCGCUGCGCGCCAUGCGGGUCCGCGUCAACGCCGACAUCGUCGCCGUGCUCGGCCGCGCGCGCGGGAUCCAGCGCGCGCUCGCGGACAUGGACGCCGCCAACGCCGCGCAGCGCAGGCUCUCCGCGGGCUGCCAGGAGGGCACCACGCUCGACCGCACCCGCACCUCCGUCACCGCGGGCCUCCGGAAGAAGCUCAAGGACAUCAUGAACGACUUCCAGGCGCUGCGCCAGCGGAUGAUGUCCGAGUACAAGGACACCGUCGAGCGCCGCUACUACACGCUCACCGGGGAGGUCCCCGAGGACGAGGUCAUCGAGCGCAUCAUCUCCGAGGGCCGCGGCGAGGAGAUCAUGAGCGCCGCCGUCGCCGAGCACGGCAAGGGGGCCGUGCUCGCCGCGCUCAACGAGAUCCAGGACCGCCACGACGCCGCCAGGGAGGUGGAGCGCAGCCUCCUCGAGCUCCACCAGGUGUUUGUCGACAUGGCCGUCGUCGUGGAGUCGCAGGGGGAGAAGAUCAACGACAUCGCGCACCACGUGAGCAACGCCAGGGACUACGUCCACUCCGGCAACAAGGAGCUCGGCAAGGCCCGCGAGCACCAGCGCGGCAGCCGCAAGUGCCUCUGCAUCGGCAUCAUCCUGCUGCUGCUCCUCAUCCUCAUCGUCAUUGUCCCCAUCGCCACCAGCCUCAAGAGGUCCUGAGCAACCACACCACACCGGAGUUUGUGAAGAUGAUCAUCUGGACACCUGCAUUUGUGUCUAAUAUGUUGUUUCGAUUUCGUAUUCUGCUGCUUCAUUCGUUGAUUUCUGCUCCCCCCCAAUGUCUCUGUGUCGUCAGGAUUUAGCUGAUGAUGAAUAGUACACCGUAUAAUCUGUUCAGUUAAUUUGCAACCCUGAAAAAUCUGCUGAUUAAUUCUGUGCAUGAGAUGAGAUUUGGUGCAUGGAUUUGUU